AGCAAUAUAAGCUUUCUCGGCCAGAUUUAUCAUCAAAUACAUAGAUUGCCCCCAAGUCACAUCCAUAUAAACAUAGUUUUUCUAGGUAAACCAAGUAAGGAGCAUCAUAAUUCAGACAUAAUCAUAAAAAGGCCCAUCUAAAUUAAGAGAAAAUCUCAAAAAGAGGGAUGCUGAGCUAUCAGUCUUGUAUCUAUAAGCAAUAUCAAGACUUUACAUCACCUGCUACAUCAUGAGUGGCUACACAACUUUCAGUGGUUUGUCUUUCUUUGGCACGCCUAACUCAGCUUUGAUGUUGCUGAGAUAUUGAUAGUAGAGACACAUGAUACUUCUAGCUCAUGCAUUCUAUCUAACUCAUCCAACAACUAUCUCUUUUUUAAUUCAUUAGUGUUUGCUAAACCUCAUGCUUAAAAGUCCUGUUCUCCUAAAUAAAGUUUCCUAAGAAUGACUUCCUUAGCACCACAGUUGGACACUUGUAGAGCAAUUUUAUUUGGGGGAAAAGAAUUUUCAAGGUGUUAACUAAUAAAUUUUAAAAAAUAAUUACAAUUUGUCCUACGAUCAUAUGACAAUUUAUCUGGGAUGAAAGGAUACAGAUAGACAUCUUCCACUUUCAAGACUAAUCACUACUUCCGUAGAUGUUGUGCAAUAAUACAAAUACUUGACCAGAUGGUAGUGAUGGUAGAAAAAAAAUUUAUUGCUCCAAAAUUAAAAUAAGAAUGCAAUAUGUUAAGCAAAAGGCUGUGCAACAUCAAAUUAAUUGAUAAGAUAGAUGCAGACAAGCAAGUUAAAAUGCAUAGUCCCAAACCUCCGCAUACAACUUCUCUAAAAUAGCAAUAACGUGUUGAUGCUAUGUUUUCUCAGCAUCUACCUGCAAAGGCCCGAGACCAGGAAAACAACAAUAAAACCACUAGCUGAAGGAGAAAGCAAAGAAAGAAAUACACUUGACAUAAAUCUUGACAAGAAGCACAAUUUAAGACAUAACAAACCCCAAUCAUAUUGUUUAGAACUACCAUUCGUUAUUUCGUUAUUGUAACAUUUCGAACAAGUGUUGACUUAAUUCAACAUUGUUGGAAAGAUAGGCUUUUAGAAGCAGAAGAAAGCCUCUCAAACCAAAGUGCUGGUCCUUGUAUUGAUCAAGGGAUGUAAACAUAUUACAUUUGCAGGAUGAGAUUUAAUCACUCCCCUGAUUUAUUUGGGUUGCAGUAAAACUAAGCGAGCAACUGUUUGACUUCCAAGCAACAGCUAAAUCAGCUAUUAAAAUUCAAAUAAAAUCAUAAUAGAAUAAUAACAGGCCCUCUUGCAUCAAAAAUUAAGUUUAAUUUGUGCAUUGUUUUCUAUAGACAUGUCAGUUUCUGCUAUUGAAAUGUUAAAAGCAUUGAAAAAUUAUUCAAUAAAUUAUGCAAGCAUUAAAAUAGAGGACAUAUUAAAAAGUUUCUAAUUACAAUGCUAAUAUUUCCUAUAUUUUAGCAUUUGCAUAUUUUAAUUUAUUUAAAAGCUACGUCGAUCAACUUUGGGCAUGAAGAUUUUAGCUUCUACGAGACUUGAUUGGAAUAUGCAUAAGGAAGAGUGUUAAAAUAUGAUGCAUCCAACGAAAGAAAACCACGUGUAGUCUUUUAAUUAAGCCAAAGUAGCAGCUCAAACAAAUGACACUUGGACCAACAUGCAAUCAUGAAGUGGCCGGAAAAAGGACAAAUGCUACUUUGGCUUAAAUAAAAAAUAACAUGUGACUUGACUUUUGCUGGACAUGCAUCAUGUUAUUACAAGACAACAGAAAUCAGUAUGAUAGUACUAAAAGUUGACAAUAACAUGAAGAUAAGAGGCAGAAUGUCAACACAUGCAUAGGCACACACAAGAAAGUAUUAACAUAUAUACCAUAGCAAAAACUCUUUUAUAUGUCAUCUGUUGCUGCUGUGAUUCAACUGACAGCAAGGCAGCUGUCGCUUCUCUACCAAGAGCCAUUAUUUUAGAUUUAAGCUCGGUCAAUCUUGCUUCUGCAUUUCGAAGCUUCACAGCACUCUCUGCUGAUAUAUCAGAUUCCCUAAUCUUUGAUCGGUGCCUAAAUACUUCAGCUGCCUGGUGAAAAUAUUCAAUAUAAAUCUAAUAUAAUUCUCAUCUUGCCUUAUACAUGCAUAUGUUACGUCAAAGCUUACCUGGGCUUCAACUUCAUGUCGAAGUUUGUCAUAACAAUGAGUCAGGUGUCGAGCAUCUUCCAAAGGUGCUCCGUUGAUUAACGCCCGUAGUGGCUCAGAUACCUACAUGUCCAAAAACCUGUAACAUAGUUAGAAAAAUGAAAAGAAAGAGCGAAACCUCAAUUAAAAAGUUCAUCCAACAUAAUCAUGGAAUUUGGGCCUACUUUAAGAAUAUAUAUAAGGAUAAUUUAUGCAAUUUUGGGUCUUAGGAUGAUUGGUAUUAGGUUAGUGUUCUUCUCUUCUGUAUUUAAGGUUAAAAUAGAAAUAAACCUAUGCAAGUAUCUAAAUUAGGCCUGUAAGACAUCCACAUGCAUCCUUCAGUCUCAUGGAUUUGAUUUUACUAUAGAUGCAAGUGUCUUUAUCGAAAAUGCUUGGAGUCAAUUGAGAGAACUCAUGGCCAAUAACUUGUCACACGCUAGUCUUUGCUAGUGAUCACAAGGUCUCUUCAACAUUUGAACCAAUAAAAUUAUUAAGUCAUGGAUGUCACUAGCAAUGAUUUUAAUAUAAAACAUUAAAUAUUUCAGAGUUGUAACUUUAAAAUGGAUUCUUUUAUUCAAUAUCAUAGAACUAAGUUUCCUUAUGAGAAGAUAAUAGUUUCGAUAAUAAUUUUACAUAUAAUUUUCUAUAUUUGAAUUAUUUUCUAGUUAGGGAUGAACUAACCUGAUCACGAAGAAUCCCGAGCAAAGUUUCCCUCUCAUUUUCCAUCAAAUCAUGUGAAGUGCCAAAUUGAAGAGCAGCUCUUGCAACGCAAGAAUUGUCACUUUGAUUCUCUACUCCAUACUUGCAACAAUCUUCAGCCAACUUUCUCGCUACAAUAUUUGAAUACAAAAAUAUUGUACACAAGAACUAUAAAAAAACUAAUGAAAAAUGCCAAGAUGGAGCAGAUGCUUCAAUACUGCCUAUACAAACCAUAAAAAACUAAUGAAAAAUAAAUAAAAUCGAGAAAUUUUACUAAUUAAAAGUCUAAAUAUAAUUUUGAAAAAAGAAAAGAAACGGACUUGCUGCUGCUUGGCGACUUGUUCUCGGAGCUUGAUUGCCUGUUUCUUGAUAGCUUCCAUACUGUUUCUUUCAAAAAGCGACGACGGCUCUGCUCAUGGAAGUGGAAAAAAAAGUGUGAUCGAGAAAAAUGAAAAGGCGUGAAUAAUUUUUGACAAAAAGCGAAAAUCAAGGAAAGCCGGCUCUUUCCAGAAAAUAAAAAAAAGAAAAAAAGAAAAAAGAAAAUCAUAAGUUUGAAAGGAGAAGAUGAUAUUGGAAGUAUGCAGUGUGGCUGCCAGGUACUUGGAUUGUAUUGUCGGGUAAGGUAAUAGUGGAGAAUUGUAAGUUUGAACGGAGCAUGUUGGACUUUUGUUGACCAAAUUCAAAAGCCAAAUGGCACGGCCCGGAAGCUUUUGAAUAGAAAAACUUGCUAGAAAGCAUCAGUUUAAAUCACUACUUAAACGCUUGCUUUAACUGCACCGCUUUGUACUGUUUUAUGUAUGUAGCGGUUGUGCGGUUGUAAUUCACGGCUGACGCUACGUGUUUGUUUGUACUGUUCUAUUCGGUGACAGAGUAUUAUUAGUUAGGCCAAAACUAUGUUGCAACAGUGGUACAGUAGCACUGUUGCUUUCAGUCAUUAGAUCUAUAGUUGUACAGUUGCAUUAACAAGAUCCAAUGACUGAAAGCAACAGUAGUACCGAACUACUGUUGCAACAUAGCUGGAGCCUAUUAGUUAUUUCAAAGGGAUAAAUAAGAUUGGUUACAACAAACCUACUAAUUUUAUAAAAUUCAAGUAACAUAGAAUAAAAUAAAAAAAUAAAUACAAAAUUGACUUUUAUUUUUUAUGGUUGACUAUAUUUUGUGUUCUCUUCGGGCACUGCUACAAUUGUUCCCUAUAUAUCAAUUACACCACAUACUAUCGACACAAGAAAUGAAAUCUAAUAUCACCUGUUUAGUUAAAAAAUCACUCAUGAAAAAAUUUUACCAUUUUGAUUUGAGGAUCCAUAUUUUAAACUACAAGCUAAUGUUCAUCAAGAAUUACUGAUGGACAAAUUAUUUUUUUUGAUAGAAGAAUUUCUUUAGGAACUACUAAAUUAUUAAUAAAAAUAUCGAACACACCCACAUAUCAUCGACACAAUUGAUUUUGAGGAUCCAUGCUUUGAACUACAGCCUAAUGUUCAUCAAGAAUAGAGUAUGGCUUAUGAGUAGAAAAUUUUCUUAUUUUGGCCCAAAAUAAAAAGAAAUUAAAUUGGAUGAGAAUCUGCCACUUUCUCAUGAAGAAAGGCAUACGGAGCAUACCAUGGUACCAUACAAUAUAAGAAGCCUCCGUUCUUUGGUUUUUCAAACUCUGAAGGGGCUAAUAUUGCCAAAUUCCCCCUUGAAAAUUCUGAUUACGACAUUAUUCAUCGCUUGAUGCAAUCAAAGUAGUGACAAAGUUAGGAAAAAUAUGAGUCCUAAGUAAUUGCUAGGCAGGGCUCCUGAGAGCAAAAUUGUCCUAAGCAUUAUAUGCAUACAUAGUGCAGUACAUAGAGCACGUUGAAUUCCCCACUAUAACACAAACCCAGAAAGACAAGUAAUAACUCAACUGAUAUAAAGACAAAAAGAAGAUAAAAUGAUAUAGAAAAAAGAAUUUCAAAGAGACAGCAACAUACAAUAGACUGAAGCCACUUGAUCUGCUCAUUGAUUGCAGCCUUAAACUUGCAAAUAGUUACUGUACGCUAGUGCUCUAAGAAGUGAAAAUGAUGCGAGCCCUGAUUCCCUUUUGACUUCCAUUUACUGUCAAACAUUCUAGUAAUACAAAAAAUUGUUUAGAUAUCUUGCUAUAAAUAUAGCCGUUUGACUGUCAUAAUAAAGUCACAAAUAACCAUUCAUAUUGAUCUACUGUCACACAGCAUGCUUUAUGCAUACAACAGCUGUAUGCAUACCAACUCCUAACCUUAUCAAUACAUUUGGCAAAAACUUAAGAAGAAAGCUAUUUCUCCAUCUCUUUUUUGAAAUUUCACAAUAACCAGCACAAUGUGAAAGCUAUGUUCUAACCUUAUGAUAAAUGCUCCAGACUCCAAAAGGGUUUUAUAUAUGAGAGUUUGUUGCAGCAGAUAUAUUGACUUAUCAAGUAUGAAUCAUUGUCUGGAUGAACUAUCUUUAGAUAAAAGAAUAUUAGAACCACUGUAGAAUAUCUUUACCCUGCUGGUUCUAACAGGAAUCUGCAUGUGGCAACAAUUGCUAGACCCACAAUUCCCCAACUUGAAAUACAUAGUUGCACACCAUGAGAUAGUGCUACAAUCUACUGAGAUCUAACUUAUAUGGUACUUUAAGCUACUAAUGUUUGCAUAUUUCUACAUGUUAAAUUAACACUAUCAUCUAUAAUCACUCCAAAACAACAAAUGAUAAGCAGCUUUUGGCCACUUAUUACUAGCAUACACAAUUAUAAAUAAGAGAUCAUGGGUUUACUUGUUGCACCUACUUAAUUAUCUGCAGUUGACAUCCUGACACAAGGUUUAAAUAGUGACUGCUUAGAACCCUUGUAGUUGGAUCUUGACCUCUCCCAUUGUAGCCAAGAUUGGUUACUCUGGUAAUGAAUCAACACUCUCCUGCUCAGGGCCAUGAAGAUCUGAAAGCUCAGCACUAGUGGAGAACUUCAUCAAUCUCUUCUUCUCAGCAUACUUGAGACAAGGCUGCAUUACGAGACCAAUCACCACAGCACCAACGCUUAAAACUGCAACUUUUAAAGAAGAAAGAGCCAACACAACACAACACAAAUCAAUAUGGUUGGAGGAAUACACAUGAUAAUGGCUCCAACAGUGCCAGUGGGUAUCUUGUAGGGAUGAGAUGCAGCAGGAUAUUGUAUCCUUAACCAUACAAAUGCUAUGAACUCCAUAAUCAUUCCAAAACAGUACAGGAAGUUCUCUGCAGCUACAAUAUCUCGAAAGCUCAGCCAUGAUAGCAAAACCACACCAGAAGCUGAGAAUAUGAUUCCAAUCAAAGGAGUCCCAUAACAAGACCUCUUAGCAAAAAACUGAGGUAGCAUUCCACGCUCAGCCAUCCCCAAAAGUUGGAAAGAGUCGCUGCUCAUCUCAGCCACAAACAUGCCCAUAUUGGACAUUGCUGCAGCCCCCUGGAUGCACCAUCUCAACCAAACUCCUCCAAGCACUUUAGCAAUAUCUGAAAAGUAACCAUCGGUCCACAAGUCGCGAUCUAAUGGAAUAGCUCCAGUUCAAACUAGAAGGGGAAAGAAAUACCCAAAAAUGACCAAGAUCAAAGCAUAAAACAAAGCCUUUGGAAGAGUCUUCUUUGGGUUAUCCACCUCUCCAGCUAGUGUACUUAUUGAGUCCCAGUAGUUGAGAUUCCAAAACAGGGUGUUCAAAUACAAAUUCCAAUCCACUUCACCUAAAUUUACUACAAGCCAUCUUGAAGGCUCUAACUUGGGAAGGGACACAAGUCCCAUAACCCCAAAAGGAAGGAGUGAGAAAAUCCCUAAAAGAACAGCAGCCCAUCCCACAAUGGUUAGACCCCUAUAGUUCAUGAAAGUGAGAACAAAAGUCAAAGCUAACGCCGCAAAGGCUCUAGGUAACCCAUUGCCCAACGCAGGGAUACCAGACUUCAAGUAGUCAAGAAACAGAACUGGGUAUAAAGCAUUAUCAAUAACCCCACUUAGCCAUCCAACCUUGCUGAAAACCCCAAUAUGGGCCUAAGGCAGAUGAAACCCAAACCACAUAACCACAAUUUUCAGGAAACACAGUACCCAUUUCGGCAGUAAUUAAAGCUUCAGGGACACUCCAUAUAAUCGGAAACACCAAGAAACCAAGAAGUGCUAAAAGAGGACCAGCUGCCUUUACACUAUCCUCAACACCAAACGGCCCCCCAGAAACCUCAUAGAAUAUAAGGAAAAUAAGUGGCAAGAUUGAUACUUUUUUAGUGCCAUGGACUCGAGGAGAAGAUGGUUGGUCAUUGAUAUUAACAUAUUCAACAGCAUCAGACUGCCCUAUUUCUACUGAAACUUGCCUAUUUACAGUGUUCCUCAAUUUCUGCAUCAAGUUUAAGCAUAACUAUCAAAAGGGUAUCCGCAUCUAAAUUAUGAAACAAAAUGAGCAUUUACUUAUUAAAAAAAAUCAAAAAACAGAAAUGGAUUUCGCAGAGCACAUGAAUUUAAGUUCAACAUUAAACAGGCGCUUAAGAAAACAAAAGGGUCUGUUCGUAAAGCCAUCAGAUUGCAAGAUUGAACAACAUUAACGGAAUCAAUAGAAUAGAUGUAAAGAGAUCUGAAAAGAAAAUAAAAUAAAAGAUAAAGAGAGAUAAAACGAACCAUCAAAUAAGUGCAUGCAGAGCAGAGAGGCAGAUACUAGAGAAGCUCCGUCAUGUUAGAGAGAGCCUAAUUCAAUCAGAGCUCACUGAGUUUCUUUUCAACCGACCGGCAAAUUUGGAGUGGCACAACAUAAUAUUUUUACUUUUAAUUUUUGGAACACUUUUGAAUAGAAUUUUUUGUUUUUAAAAAAGGUAAGGGAGAUUAGUAUUUAUUUAACGGAUCAGGCUACGGUGCAACUGUGGCACCGUGCCACAGUUGCAUCUAGCCGUUGGAUGCAAUUGGAAUGGUGGAGUCCACUGACAUCCAACGGUUAGAUACAACUAUGACACGGUACCACAGUUGCACCUAAGGUUCCCUUAUUUAACUUUAUAUUUUUUAAAAUACCUUAAAAAUAUUUUUAUGUUAAAAUAUUAAUAUUUUUAUUAAUAAUUUUUAUAUUUUUAAUUUAUUUUUAUAAUAUUAUUUUUUAUAAUAAUUUUUUAUUUAAAUAUUAAUAAAAAAAUAAUUAAAUUAACAAUUUAAUCCUAAAAUAAAUAAACACGUGUUUGGUUUUGGGCUUUUUCUUUUGUUCGUUUAAUAUCAUCUGGCUCCCUGAUUUGUGACUAAUUAUCAACAGAAUCCCGUUGGUUUCUAAAUUGAAAUAAUAGAAGGUCAUGAGACUAUUUACUCCAUUUAGCACUGCAGACUUAGAGUAUAUUGAAAAAGCUUUGUCAAAUAGUAGUAAUAGGGGCAUAAGAAAUAAAUUAUAGCUAUCACAAAUUCGUUAGGAGAAUUUCAAUUUUUUCCAUCAAUAAUGGCUAUGAAGCAAAAUUACCUUAGGUUAUAUUGCAAUACUAAUACUUCAAAUCCUGAUAAUAAAUUUGAUGACAGUCGUUUUUAUCAUGGUUUUAACAGAUAUAAGAAGAGAAAAUUAACUGUUCAAACAAAUUAGAAGCAAAUUCUUUCAUAUCUUUCUUUUAUUUUUCCGCUUACUUUCUUAGCAUCCAAACAAGUUAAAGUUAAAACGCUGUUAGAGCCAACAAUAUGCAGGCAUCAAUAAGCAUAGUAGUUUUGUAUAUGUAUUCUAUACGAUAUUCUAGGGAUGUCAAUUGUAGAACAUUUUGUGGUAACUUUUUUACAUUAAUUAAUGUUUGAAGAACUUGUUAAAAAGAAAAUGGUAAUUUUAUCAUUUUGAAAGACAAAAAAAAAAAAAAAAAGAGUGAAAGUGGCGUUACCUCAUGGUCAUUAGAGACUUGUUGCAAUGAUAGCUCAAAAUUAAAAAUUUGUGAAGAAUUAGUAGACAACGACGAUACUAUAUUUAUACAGUCACCAACGUGUUGAUUUUUGUUUAAUGUUUGAUCGAUAGAAACUUUCGUCGUCGUCGCCGUUGUUGAAUUUGUGCUAAGAAUAUCACAAGAGAAGAAAAAAGGAUGAAAGGGAAGAGAAGAAGAGAGAAGUGGUGGACAGCAAAUAUGAUAUGCUAGCUACACACAGGCCUUAGAGAGUUUUUUUUUAAUAUUUAUUGUAUUUUUGUUUUUGUUAUUGGUUUUUCAUAUGCUUCCAAGGCAGCAAUGCGUUACAUCAUAAAUUGCACCUUUUAGGGGAGGUGGUAAAAAACAUGAGAGCAAUGCAUUCUAGCGCAUACAUGCAGAAAGAGUUUCCAAAUUUUCAAAAGUUUCUUUAUUUCUUCCACCUUUUUUUGCUUAAAAUAAAUUUUAAUUGUAUUUUGCAUUAACUUAGAGAAAAAAAAAUCCAGUUCUAUACAUAAACGCAUACAUUGAUUAGAAAAUGAGUUUUAUGGACACAAAGGGACAAUAUAAGAGAUUCUUUUUGUUUAUUAGAAGUAACAUAACUAGUUAGUGUAACAUGUAAUUAUAAGCUACCAAUAAUUUGCACUAAUGAUAAUUAACGGUAUAGAUUUUGAGCUAUGAAUGUCUUGUGGCUAGUUUAAUUAGAUUUUCGAGUUUUCAGCAGAUCUAUUUUAAUGAUUAUUAAAUUAUUUUCACUUCUUAUGCCUUAAUAAAAAAAAUCAAUAUUUUUUGCUGUAUUCUAUAUUUUAAAACUUAAUUUUUAGUUCUUUAUAUUGCAAACCAAACUGAGUCAAAUAGAGUAUGCUCUUCAAAUAAUUUUUCCAUUGCCUUCAAGAAGAAUUCAUUUUAUUUUUAUAUAUUAAUUUAACACUUGUAAACCGGGCCGUCAGAUUGCACAUAAAGCAAAUGAUCAAACCGUUACAAGACCGGCCCAGGCCCACCGACUCUAUUUUCUUUCAUUUGACCAUUAAAAAGCUUUUGGCCACCCCCACCAAAUAAAUAAGCUCUUGUUCUCUUUUGUUCCCUCUCAAAGGAAAAUAUCUGAUCACCGGAUAAUGAUUCCGGCGACACAAAAGAUCGAAACACCCCCCUAAAUUCCCUAAAUUUACGAUAAUACCCCACCAUGGAUGAUUCCGUUGAAAUGCCGCCUUACGAUGAAAGGCCUAAAAAGGGUUUUAACUUCACCUCCAUGCGCUUGAUCUUAACCCUCGUUUUCCCAAUUUUAACUUGCUUUUUGUUGGCAUUUUUUAUUGGAAUCGUAGCUGUUUUAUUCGGUGAAUCAUCAGUUUCCAGUUCCAUUUUUGUCCCUUCCCAGUGCAAGAUAGUGUCCAGCAGUAAGCUUUUUUUAACAUUUUCAAUUUUUUUUCCAUUUAUGAAGUCCAAAAAUUUUAUUAAUUUUGACUUUUUUGAAUGAUUUUGCAGGUGUUGAUAUAAGGUCAUCAAAAGUUUGUGAACUUGGGGUGUUGAAUUAUAAGGCGAAGCGUGUGUUUUAUCCAUUUGAAGCAAGUAAAUUUCGCUGUCGGUAUGAUUACUAUUAGGCUUCUAUCUUCAAGGUAUUCAUACAUUUUCCCCUGUACUAUAAGCUUCUCAGUGGCGGUCUUGUGAGCGGAAGUGAGCGGUGUGGUUGACAGCUUCUUGAAAAUUAUAAGUUUGAACCAAGCAUGUUAGAGCACCACCAAAAGCCUCUUUAAAUAAGAUUUUAUUAUUUAUUUAAAGAGCCACAUCAAUAUUGAAAGCUCCAAAAGACACUUCAAUUAAAAUUCUUUAAAUAAGAAUUGAUUCUCUUCAAAUUUGGAGAGUUAAUUUCUCCCUCUUCAAUUUAUAUUUUAUUACUUUUCAUUGAAGAAAUAGAGAAAUGCUUUAAUUGCUAUUAACUUUUCCUUUAAAAAACUAAUUAUAUGAUUAAAAUAAUAUUAACUUAUUUAUAUUUGAAGAGUCUUUUGAAGAAUAUCAUAUUUUUUUCACCAUUCUAUUUGCCACAUAGGUAAACAAAUAGAUAUUUAAAGAGUAAAAUUUAUAGAAACUUUUGGAGAUGCUCUUAGACUUUUGUUGACCAAAUUCGAAAGCCAAAUGGCACAGCUCAGAAGCUUUUGAAUUGAAUAACUUACUAGGAAGCUCCAAUUUUUUGUUGGCUACAGUAAAAGGAUGUUGUUUUAUUCUUCUUAUACUUUACGCUUGCAUCAGCUUAAAUCACUUCUUAAACGCUUUGCUUUAACUCCACUGCUUUGCUGGGGCGGAUUUACCUUGGAACAAGUGGGGACUUAAGUCCCCACUGAAAAAAAAAUUGUUUUAAUAAUUAAUUUGAUUUGCCAAAACUUCUCAAUAAAUUUUUCUUAAGCCCCCAUAAUUUCUUUCAACAAGCAAUUGAUCUAAAUGAGUUAAUUUCUGUCAGUUGUAUCCAAAUGAGUUCUCUGCAAUUGAUAUCAUGGCACUUGAAAUUCAACUUGAUACAUAUAUUUUGGAUAUGCGCACUAGUGCGAGACUAAAAGACAUAAGGUAUAUCCAUUGGUUUACUUGUUAAUAAUAUUAGCAUUGACUUUACCCGUUGCCAUUGCUAGUGUAGAGAGUAUUUUCAGCCAUGAACAUUUUGAAGAAUUGGUUAUAAAGCUGUGAGUAAUAGAUGAAUGAUAGUUUAAUUAUUUACAUAGAAAAAUACUUAUUUAAUAAUAUUGAUAAUGAACUUGUAAUGCAACAUUUUUAAUGUAUGAAAACUUGAAAGGACAAUUGUAAACAUAUAUUGAAGUAUGAUAAAUCUUUCAAAUUUAUAUAUUUAUUACUUUUUAAAUUUUUUUAUAUUGCCGUUGAAUGAGCCCCCAGUCAAUCAAUAUGUUGUCUUCACCCUGCUUCGUACUCUUCUAUAUAUGUAUCGGGUAUGCAGUUGUAGUUAAUGGUUGAGACUACGUGUUUGUUUGACGUGGUAGUUACGUUACGAGUCUGUUAAACAUUCGAUGAUUAAAGUAUUAUCUGUUAUUUCAAAGGGACAAAUAAGAUUAGCUACAACACACCCACUAGUUUUAUAAAAUUCGAAUGAGAUGGAAUAAAAUAAAAAAUAAAUAAGUAAAUUGACUUUUAAUUUUAGUGGUUGAAUAUAUUUUCUAUUCUCUUAGGGCACUGCUGUAAUUAUUCCUUAAACGUCAGUCAUACCCACAUAUAAUAGACACAAGAAAUGAAAUCUAAAAUCACCUGUUUAGUUAAAGAAUCAUCAUGAAAAAAUUUUGCCAUUUUGAUUUGAAGAUCCACUUUUUGAACAACCAACUUAUGUUCAUCAAGAACGGAUCAUGGCUUGUGAGUAGAAAAAUUAUUUUUGGACAAAUUAUUUUUUUUAAUAGAAGAAUUUCUCAAGGGACUAAUAAAAUUACUAAUAAAAAUGUCAGACACACCCACGUACCAUCGACACAAUUGACUAUGAGGAUCCAUGUUUUGAACUUCCACCUAAUGUUCAUCAAGAACAGAAUAUGGCUUGUGAAAAGAAAAUUUUCUGAUUUUGGCCUGGAACAAAAAGAAAUUAAAUUGAAGGAGAAUCUGCUACUUUCUCAUUAAGAAAGGCAGACAUGGUAUACCAUGGUACCAUACAAUAUAAAAAGUCUCCAUUCUCUGGCUUUUCAAACUCUGAAGGGGGCAAUAUUCCCCAAUUCUCCCGUGAAAAUUCUAAUUACGACAUUAUUCAUCGGUUGAUACAUAAGUACAAGUAGUGACAAAAUUAGGAAAAAUAUGACUCAUAAGUAAUUACUAGGCAGGGCUCUUGAGAGCAACAUUGUACUAGGCUUUAUAUGCAAACAUGGUGUGGUACAUAGAGCACGUUGAAUUCCACACUAUAACACAAACCCAGAAAGACAAGUAAUAUCUCAACUGAUAUAAAGACAAAAAGAAGAUAAAAUGAUACAGAACAAAGAAUUUCUAAGAGACAGCAACAUACAAUAGACUAAAGCCAGUUGAUCUGCUCAUUGAUUGCAGCCUUAAACUUGCAAAUGUUUACUGUAGCCUGGUGCUCUAAGAAGUGAAAAUGAUGCAAACCUUGAUUCCCUGUUUACUUCCAUUUACCAUCAACACAUUCUAUUCAUAAGAAAAAAAAUGUUUAGAUAUCUUGCCGUAAAUAUAGCCAUUUGAUUGUCUUAAUAAAGCCACACACAACCAUUCAUAUUGAUCCACAUUGCCACAUAGCCUGAUUUAAGCAUACAACAGCUGAAUGUAUACCUAACUCCUAACCUUAUCAAUACAUUGGCGACAACUUAAGAAGAAAACUAUUUCUCCAUCUCUUUUUUGAAAUUUCACAAUAAAACAGCACAAUGUAAGAGCUGCAAUGAAAAUGGACCGUCUGAAACUAUGGCGGAAGCUUCAACUAGUGUAGUGAUUUGACCUUCUUAUUAACCUAGCGAGAUCAAACACUGCCCUUGAUCUUGAACAGAUCAAUACGAUACGCACAACUUAUGAUUGAAUCCAGAAACAAUCAAAUCUUUAGCAAGAAUAAUUAAUCAGAAUCAAGAAACAAGUUUAAUGAAUAUAAACCUAUAAUUGGAACAAACACAGCCAAAGAACCCAAGAAUGACACAACGAACACCAAGGGAGAAGCUUUCCAGUGAGAUUAUAUUGAUGAUCAAAGAAGAAUCUUUUUACAAAGCUAACAAAAGAGAUUUCAGAGAAUAAGCUAUGACCCUCUCUCUCUUCAAUCUCUGUCUAGUUUGUUAACAGUGAUGACCCAAUCUGCUUCGUUAGCCAGCUUCAUAACUGCGUCAGUGACAAACCAGCAAACCCAGAUUGAGCAGACUAACGACACGUGCAUAACGGCUUUAACGAACUUGGUUAAAGAACUGCUCACAUGUUCGUCACGCGUGUUGCUUAAAUGAUAGCCAAAACGACUUCAACCAGAUGCCGUUUUGAAGCUUAUGAAUUAUAAGUGAAAACACGUGCUUGUCUCGUGACAUUUAAAUGCAACAACAAGCCCAAAACACUGCCGUUUCACUAUGUUGAGUUUGCCAUCUCUAAGCUUCACAACUAGCAGCGGACAAGAUGAUAAUUUAAUUGACAUGGACAACUUUUAUAUCACUUUUACAACAUUCUAUAUAAUUGUGAUAUUGGGAAUCGUCGGUGUUGUAUAUGUGAACCCUCGUUGGCGACACUGGUGGUUUUAUCUUUGUUGAAAUAUGGAUGACUUUUUGUUACUAUUUUGUUGUACAUAGUACAUAACCUUAUUCCCAGGAGAUUUAAUCAUUGAAAUUAACAUGUUAGUUUCAUUAGAAGGCUGAGUGGUUAGGGCUGCUACCCUCCAACUUGGAGGGCAAUAGUUUAAACCCACAAGCGCAAUGUGGGGGUAUUUCAUUCUUUAAUUACAUUGUAUAAUUGAAUAAAUGUAAUCUUCUCUCUUACACAAGUGUGAGUGGAGUAGACAUCUCUCGAAUAUUAGCGAGGGUUAAAACUUGGACAGAGCUCAAUAAGUAUUUAUGUAAGUUGGUCCUAGUAAUAAUCUGAUUUGUAAAUAUCAGUUAUAGUCUCAUGUUUCCUUCCUUAAUUAUAUUGUAUAAUUAAGUAAAUGUACUCUUCUCUCUUACCCAAGUGUGAGUGGAGUAAACAUCCCUAGAAUAUUAGUGAGGGUUAAAAUCUGGACAGAGCUCCAUAAGUAUUGAUGUAAGUUGAUCCCAGUAAUAGUAUGAUUUGUAAAUAUCAGUUAUAAUCUCAUGUAAUAUGAGUUGUAAUUUGAGCAACAGUUUCAUGUAAUUACAAAAAAAAUGCUACUUUCAUUACAUUUUUCUUCGUUAAAAUUCUCAAGUAUCAAUUAUGUUUGCUUAAGAAAUAAAAUUUCGUUAUGAAAAUUGUAGUAGUAUUUCCGAGCAUCUCACAUUUUCAAUGAUUUUUCAUAAAUCAAUUAAUCUGUCGUACCAAUAUCAUGUUUAGUUUUUCAGACUAAAUAAUCAAGAAAGCAAACAAAUUCACAGUUUAGAGGGGUAAACUAGCUUUUAGAUUUUAGAACUAGGCUAGAUACCUCACCAAAUUCCAAUUUGUACAGUGAACUACAAGAUUGAGAAAAUAAUGUAUUUAUAGUUUAAUUGAAUCAUGAGAAAACAAUGUAGUCAUAGCUCAAUCGGACAUGAUCACGGAGAGGCAUAUUCUUUUCAAGUUAAUUUGAUCCAUUUAUAAGAAAUGAAGUGGAUCGAAGUUAAAAGUUAAAAUAAAAAAUCCUUAUUCUUGAGUUUUACGACGUCGUUACUCCUUCAAGAGGCUGAUUGUGCAAGUGAAUGGAGAAACAGAAUGCUUUUAUAAUUUUUUUAAUAAUUGUAAAAAUAAUUAACCAUAACAAAUCCCUUGCGUAAAUACUAAUCAUUAUUUAAAAGGUAGAAAGAUAGUUAGUGCACAAUCAAAUUUUAAGCCCCUACCUCCUCGGCCCAAGAUUCAAACUUAGAUGAUCAGCCAAAUAAAAUUAUUUGAAAAUCAUUCAAUCAGGUUCCCGGAGUAAAAAUACAAGAUCCUUAUUAUAAAAGUUGUCCCACCUGCUGGUGUAUAACAACCACUUCAAUUCAAACUAGAUUCUUUUUGUUUUUUUUAAUGUAAUCCUGAUAAUAUUUAUGUUAUCUUAAGAAUAGGUCAGCUUGAUUAUUGCUGAAAUAUAGGAGGAAGUUAGCUUUGAUUCAUUGUAUUAUUUAUACGCUCUGAUACCAUAAAGAGAUUGAUAAUUGAAAAUGAACUCACUUCGUUACUGGUAUGUCUGGUUCGGUGGUUGGCGGGGAAGGUGGAAGAGAUGGUUGGCGGGCAGGUAGAGCUUCCUGUGGGGUUGGGUCAGCUGGUUGUGAAGUAGCCUCAGGCAGAGAUAAUUCUUGAGAGCUAGCUGCAGAUGGAGUGUUGGCUGCCUGCUGGAGUGAUGUGGGAAUGGACACAGUAAGUACAGGAGGAAUCCAAGUGGAUAUGGUAGUGGAAGUAGGACGUGGAAGAGUGGUGUGUAGUGAGGUGUAUGGAAAGACUGAUUCAACAAAUUGAACAUGGCGAGAAACAUGUUGCUGUUGAUUAUCAUUUUAUCAGAGAUCAAGUUCAAUCUGGUCUACUUCGAGUAGCUCAUGUCUCCUCUGCUGAUCAGCUUGCCGAUCUUCUCACCAAGCCACUGCCCACUUCUCAGUUCUUGCUUUUACGGGACAAGAUUGGCCUCUCUACUCGUGGCCUAUCUUGAGGGGGCAUAUAAAAGUUGUCCCACCUGCUGGUGUAUAACAACCACUUCAAUUCAAACUAGAUUCUUUUUGUUUUUUUGAAUGUAAUCCUGAUAAUAUUUCUGUUAUCUUAAGAAUAGGUCAGCUUGAUUAUUGCUGAAAUAUAGGAGGAAGUUAGGUUUGAUUCGUUGUAUUAUUUAUACGCUUUGAUUCUAAUGGAACGAAGUGAGUUCAUUUUCAAUUAUCAAUCUCUUUACUUAUUUGCAUGAUAUAUAUGAAUUAAUGUAAUUUAUUUGAAUUAUCCAAAUUCAUUAGAGAUAAAACUAUAAAAUAUACCAAAAACGUUAGAAGGAAGGGUGUGUUGGGAUGUUUUACAAACUAUAGGAAUCUGGUGAGAUUUUGAGCCAAACUGUAGGGAGUUGAAGGCAUUUGCCCAAUAUGUUUAGUCGUACACUAACCGUUAUUUGAUCUUGUUGUUGGUCCCGGAUGAGCUGUAGUCUUAUUUUAAUUUUAUUUAAACUCACCAUAAGAUUCGCGGAGCUCCUAACUAACUUAAAUGACUCUGCAGAGCAUGUCAACACAUAGCAUGUUUAACCGUUUUAUUUGUAGAAGAAUUUAUGAUUUCCCAUUAGCAUUAUUAUUGAAGUGGGGCGGGGGCGGGUCAAAUCUCAAUUGCUUGAAAAUUUUAUUUAUUAUUAUUAGUCUUGAAGUGAGGUGGGUAACGGUUCGCUCCAAUUCGAGGGAAUCAAAUAUAUCAUCCAAGGUAGAAUUGUGGAAAAUUAAAGCAAAAUAAGAAAUAUGGAAAGAAAAGAAGAAAGUUAAGGCAUGAAAGACAUAUACAGUUGAAAUUAUAAUCAUGUUUCUAUUUUGUUAACUAAUCAAAUGGAAAGCUGAACUGUAAACAAACAUUAAAACGUGUGGACCAAGCUAGCUGCCCUACAAGUCCACAAUAAUAAUUGAGUACUUUGAUUCAUCCUUCUAUAAAUUUCUACCCAUAUUGACUCCACCGAAAUUUCCACAAAAUUAAAAAAAAAAAACUGAAUUUCCACAAAAUACAAAACCCGUUGAACUUAUUUUUUGGUCAUGUGAACUAAGAUGUAAAUUAAAAAAAAAGUAUAAAAUUAAAAAAGAUAAGAUUUCUAAAAUGUGUGGAAGGUGAUUCAUGAUUCACUGAAAUUACUUACCCCAGAUAUAAAAGUAAACCUAUCUAAUUUCAUUAAAAAUAGUUAGAAAAAAUUAACUAAUAAAAAGCUACGGAAAUUAACCCCCCACAAAAAUGACUUUUUAUAGAAGAAUUUAUGUUUUUUAAAAUAUGUUAUCAAAGUGUAUUUGAUCAAAUCUCAAUUGCUUAGUAUGGUUAGGAUUUUGUGAACAUCACUAAAAAGUGAAAAACUAUGAAUGAUAGGGGUGAUGCUUGCAAUAUGAAUAAAUAAUGGACUGAUUCAAUUGAUGAUUACAUUUAUAUAUUAUUGAUUAUUUAUGAAUUUUCAGACUUGUUAUGAUGUAUAACUAUGUGAUUUUGAAACUUGAAACCGUGGCAAACAUUGAAAGGAAUUAUAACUUGAAAGCAUGACUCACGGGGUAUGUCAUGAUUCACGUGCACAAAAAAGGUAGAAUUGUGGAAAUUUACAACCCAACGACAAAUACGGAAAGAAAGGAAGAAAAUUAAAAGACUUCGGGCCUAGCCUGCGUGUAUUAAUUAUUAGAUUACUUUUUUUUUUAUAAGGGUAAUCAUCAAUUUACUCCAUAACAAUCUUUAAUUCAUUUUUAAAAAAUAUGAAAACUUUAAUUUAUCUUUUAAACAUCGUUACCUCUUCAUUGGUUUUAAUAGUUCAAAGGGUAAAAUUAUAUUUGCAUAUUUUCUUGACCGCCAACUAAAUGAUAAAACUCAAAAUUCAAUCUUGUUAUCUUGUUUCAAUCCUCUAUCAAUCAAAUAAGAUUUCUAAAAUAUGUGAAAGAUAUUGCAUGAUUUCCUCAACCUACCUGGCCCCGAACAUCAAGGUAAAUCUCUCUAAAAUAGUUGAUUAAAUCUCAGUUGCUAAGUAUAGUUAGGAUUGUGUGAACAUCACUGAAAACUAUGAUUGAUAGAAGUGAUCUUUGCAAUAUGAAUAAAUAAUUAACUGAAUCAAUUGAUUUAUAUAUUAAAGUUUAUGAAUUUUCGGACUUGUUGCGAUAUAAUAAUAGCAUAUGAUUUGAAACUUGAAACAGUGGUAAAUAUUGAAAGGAAUUAAUUUGAAAGCAUGAUCCGUGGGGAAUGUGAUGAAUCGUGUUUACAAAAAAGGUAGAAUUGUGGAAAUUUAUAACAGAACGAUAAAUAUGGUAAAAAGGAAGAAAAUUGAAAGACUUGGGGCCUGGCCUGGGUGUAUUUUCUAACUGUCCAAUGGACAAAAUUAUAUUUGUAUACUUUCUCUUCCCUAGCUAGGUUUCAUAGAAUAGCUCAUUUCAUUUUUAUUUUUUAAAUAAUAGCCCAAAACAUCCUUAUGUUAAUUCACUGUUAGUUGAAUAUCAUUUGUUAGUAAUUCAUUAAGGGUAAAAAAUGAUUUUCUAUCAAAGAGAAAAUUAGAAAAAUAAAUAAAAGUUGACAUAUAACUAAAAAUGAUCUUAUCUAAUCCCACUAAAUAAGAAAUGCCAAAAAAGAUGAAAAAUUUAUAUUUCAAGCAAUUCUUUUUUCACUUAUUUCUAUUUUGGCGGCAUGAAAGCCCUAUAAACCCUAGAUCUAAAUACCAAAAAUAUCACAAUUUUCUUAUUCAUAUAAGUAUACUCUCUAAUUGCAUUGUAAAAUGGCUUGAAUUGAAUUGAAGAUAAAGAAAAUAUUCAGCACAUGCAAGCACAUAAAAAUUGGUGGCAUUUUUGAGUUUUUCUUCCAAUGAUUUAAAGAUAUUGUUUUAAUUACAGUUUGUUCCUUAUGACAAUUAUUCAAUGGCUAUAUCAAACUAUAUCAUCGUUGAUUUCAUUUAAGAAAAAGUUAAUGAAUUUUGCAUACUUUGUAGUGUUAUUUAAUUGUGUAAAAAAAUUAUUUUAAUAUAGUUUGUAUCACUUUAAUGAAAAAUCUUAUUUUGCUCUCAAUGAAUUACUGGUUAAUAGUUUUACACUCACGGUGAGUUAACGGAAGGAUAUUUUAGGCUAUUGAUUGAAAAGGAGGGAUAAAAUGGGCUAUUGCAUUAAACUUUAGGGAUGAAAAAUGCUUUUUCUCCUUUCUUAUCAAUCAACUAACUGAUAAAAGUCAAAACUCAUAUUUUUUUUUUCCUUGUUUCAAUCCCCUCUCAAUCAAAAAAGUUUCCUUGUCUAAGCAAUGAGGAAUAUGGCUAGAAAGAUUGUUAUUAGAAAGAUUUAUCAAUAGUAAUUGGUUCACAACUGAACAAUUUUAGAUUAUUGUGAGUCAAUAUAGGUCUUGUUUGGAAUUGAAGUGUUGUAGCUUUUAAGCUACAGCUGCUUUAGAAAAAAAACUAUAAUUAUGAAAUAAGAGUUAAUAAUAUAUAAUAAAUAUAAAUUUUAAAUAAUAAAUUUGACAAAAUUAUUAAAAAUAUAAUAGAUUUUUGAUAAUACAAGUAAAAAAAUCAUAUCAACAUAGCUUGCAAGUUACAACAGUUAGUGUUUACCUAAUACUUUAAUACUGUAGCUUUUAAGUUACAGUUGUCCAAUACCUCAAUUCCAAACGCACCUAUAAAAUGGCUUGCUUCAAAAGUCUAUCAACCCAACUUGGAAUGCUCUCAUUGUUGCGGAAACGUGGGUUGAGCAAUUACUAAUACUGCAACUUCUGGAGAAAUAUAAAUGUGGUGAUAAACAAAUGCAAAGAAAAUAGAACACAAUAUUUUACGUGGUUCGGCGUAAUGCCUACGUCCACGGGCAAAAACUGGAAGAUAAUUUUACUAACAAUGAAAUUUACAAAAGUGGGAAAAACUCACAAAACCCACAACCCCAAUACACCCAAAUGGAACCUCACUAGAACACUCAAGUGGAAGCUCUCUCAAAUUCUCUCAAAGAACUCACUUGCAAUUGCUCUCUACUUCUCUCAAAUUGGGAUGGUUACAAUAGCAAAAUGCUUCUCUAUUUAUAGAUUGCAUUCUGCUCCAAGUUGGGUUCAAUUUGUCAAAAUGUUGAGCUGGAUCUUGUAUUGCAUGCACGAGCUUUUCAACACCUAACUUUGUCUUUUGAAAUUGCUUAGCCGACCAUCUUUGCUUUUUUGAAUUUGGCAAGCAAUUCUUUGACUUUUCAACAAUUCUCCACCUCGGCGAAGAUUUAGUAAAUCUGAGCCGAUUAUCAAUAAAUUAUCCUCCAGCCUUUGCCUUCUCCGACUGCUUUUAAACUUGCAGGAUAUUAAUCAAGUUUAGACAAUGCUCAAACUUGAUCGCUGUCACCACCUUGGUCAACAUAUCUGCGGGAUUAUCUAUAGUUUUAAUUUUCUGAAGAAGAAUCUUCCCCUCAUCAAUAAUUUCCCGCACAAAGUGAAAGCGUACAUCGAUGUGCUUCGUACGCACAUGAUAAACUUGGUUCUUCGUUAAAUGAAUAGCACUCUGACUAUCGCAAUACACAUUAAUGUGCUCCUGCGCCAAUCCCAAGUUUUCAAGCAAACCUUAUAACCAAAUAGCCUCUUUAAUAGCCUCUGUAAUUGCCAUGUACUCGGCCUCUGUGGUCGAUAGUGCAACUGUAGACUGUAGUGUAGACUUCCAACUAAUUGGCCCUCCAGCAAAAGUAAAUACAUAUCUGGUGGUUGACCGUCGUUUGUCCAAAUCACCAGCAUAAUCAGAAUCAAUGUACUCGAUCACACUUUGACCAAGUGUAUCGUCUCUUUCAAACAGUAAACCAACAUCCACGGUCUUCUAAAUGUACCGUAGAAUCCAUUUCACAGCUUGCCAAUGUCCUUUACCAGGAUUAUGCAUAUACCUGCUCACUAUACCAACUGCAUGUGAAAUGUCAGGCCUUGUACACACCAUUGCAUACAUCAAGCUACCCACUGCAUUUGAAUACGAAACUUGUAACAUGUAUUCUCGUUCUGCAUAUGUUGAAGGAGAUAAUUGUGCAGAAAGCUUGAAAUGAGAAGCCAACGGGGUACUCACAGGUUUUGUCUGCUCAGUCAUGCCAAACUGCUGUAGUACCUUCUUCAAAUAUUGCUUUUGAGACAAGCUUACUUUGCCACGAGCUCUAUCUCUGCAUAUCUCCAUGCCAAGAAUCUUCUUAGCUUCACCUAAAUCUUUCAUUUCAAAUUCUUGAUUGAGUUGAGUCUUCAACUUCUCAAUCUCAUUUUUGCUCUUCGAUGCUAUUAGCAUAUCAUCGACAUACAAUAGCAAAUAAAUGAAAGAGCCUUCUUGUAGCUUGCGAAAAUACACACAAUAAUCAAAUUUAUUUCUUGUGUACCUUUGUCUUUUCAUAAAUCGAUCAAAUCGCUUGUACCACUGCCUCGGAGAUUGUUUCAACCCAUAAAGCGACUUUGUCAAUUUGCAAACCCAAUUUUCUUUUCCAGCAACCUUAAAUCCAUCUGGCUGAGUCAUGUAGAUUUCCUCUUCCAAAUCACCAUGUAAGAAUGCAGUUUUUACAUCAAGUUGAACUAGUUCAAUAUCAAAUUGCGCAACCAUGGCUAGCAAAAUUCGAAUAGAUGAAUGUUUCACAACUGGAGAAAAUACCUCAUUGUAGUCUAUUCCUUCCUUCUGAGCGUAACCCUUCGCUACCAAUCUAGCCUUGUAUCGAAUUUCAUUUUUACAAGGAAAUCCUUCCUUUUUUGCAUAUACCCAUUUGCACCCAAUUGCCUUCUUUUCCUUGGGCAGUGUAACUAACUCCCAAGUUUCAUUUUUGUGAAGAGACUGCAUUUCUUCGUUCAUUGCUUUCUUCCACUGUAUACUUUCUGGAUUACUUACUGCUUCUCUGUAAGUGGAAGGAACAUCAUCAUCUACAAUUGGAAGUGCAUAGGCCACCAUAUCAACAAAGCGAGCAAGUCUGCGAAUCUCUCUAUGUGGCCUUCUAUAUGCAAUUGAAUCAUGUUGCUGUGAAGGUUCCUAGGUCAGAACCUCUUCAUCAUUUUCGGUCGAUGGAGAAUCAUUAUCCAUCUCAUCGACACCAGCUGGAUCAGCUUUAACUUUUUCAAACUCCACAUGCUGCAAACUGCUACUGGUCUUGUCAUUCUCUUGAGAAUCUUUUUGUUUCAACAUGGUUGAUUCAUCAAAAGUUACAUCUCUGCUGAAAAUAAUCUUCUUCGUUACAGGACACCAGAGACGGUAUCCUUUUACUCCACCAGUUAUACCCAUGAACAAUGCUUUCUUUGCUCUUGGGUCUAACUUAGAUUCUUUUACAUGAUAAUAAGUAGUGGAACCAAAAACAUGUAAAGAAUUAUAAUCAGUAGUAGGUUUACCAGUCCACAUCUCCAUGGGUGUUCUGCCCUCAAUUGCAGUUGAUGGCAAACGGUUGAUCAAAUGGCACGCAUAUACAACUGCCUCAGCCCAAAACUCUUUGCCCAAUCCAGCAUUGGAUAACAUACACCGAACUUUCUCCAGUAUAGUCCGGUUCAUGCGUUCUGCCACCCCAUUCUGUUGUGGUGUAUCUCGAACAGUGAAAUGUCGCACAAUACCCUCAUCUUGGCAUAUUUGAAGAAAUGGAUCAUUCUUGUACUCACCACCAUUAUCUGAGCGAAGUCUUUUGAUCUUUCGACCAUUCUGAGUCUCGACCAUUUUCUUCCAUUUCAUAAAUAUGCCCAAAACUUCAUUUUUGUUCUUCAUCAAAUACACCCACACUUUUCUUGAAUAAUCAUCAACAAAAGUAACAAAAUAGUGCAUACCUCCCAAAGAAGCUGUUUUGGUAUGUCCCCACACAUCACUGUGAACAUAGUCCAUAAUUCCUUUUGUAUCGUGAAUUGCUGAACCAAACUUUACCCUUGUCUAUUUGCCCAGAACACAAUGUUCACAAAAUUCUAAUUUGCAAGAAUUUGUACCUUUCAAUAAGCCUUGCUUCGCUAAAGUUUGCAAAGCUUUUUCACCAGCAUGUCCCAAACGCAUAUGCCACAAUUUGGUUGCUUCUAAAUCUGCAUCUUUUCCAGAAACUGUUGAUGCUGAUCCAAUAACUGUACUUCCUUGGAAAUAGUACAAGUUAUUUCUUCUUGUGCCUUUCAUUACCGUCAGUGCCCCAGCUACUACCUUCAACAAUCCAUCUCUUAAAGUGAUUGUGAGUCCUUUAGAUUCUAGGACUCCUAAUGAGAUGAGAUUUUUCUUCAAGCUUGGUACAUAGCGAACAUCUGUCAAAACUUGGAUUGAGCCAUCAUGAUUCUUUAAUUGGAUUGUACCUAUUCCCAUGGUUUUACAAGCAUUGUCAUUGCCCAUAAAAACAACUCCACCGUCUAGCUCCUUGAAGUUAGAAAACCAGCCCUUGUUAGGACACAUAUGAUAAGUACAACCCGAAUCCAAAAUCCACUCAUCUGAGUGACAUAUCAAUGUCAUGCCAACCAGACUAAAGUCUGACUCCUCAUCAUGCUCUGCUACACAUGCAUCAGAAGUAGCCUUGCCCUUUUGUAACUUAGGACAAUUCUUUUUCCAAUGCCCUUUCUCGCGACAAAAAGCACAUUCAUCUUUGGCAGGUCUCCCUUUAGACUUGUUCCUUUUUCCAGGUUUGUGGCUUUGCGAACGACCUCUCGCUGUCAGUGCUUCUGCAACUGUAUAUCUGUGAUCCUUUCUAUCUUUCUUUCUGGUCUCAGAGUUGUACAAUGCACUGCAUACAGCAUCGAAUGUGACACUGUCCUUCCCAUGAAGCAAAGUAGUGGUAAGAUGAUCAUAUUCAUCAGGAAGGGAAUUCAACAACAAUAAUGCCUUAUCUUCAUCUUCAAAUCUCUCAUCUAGAUUUAGCAAAUCCGCCAAUAUCUUGUUGAAUGAGUUCACGUGGUCAUUCAUUGACAUGCCAUGUGUAUAUGUAAAUCGAUAGAGUUUCUUUUUCAUAUAAAGCCUAUUUUCAAGACUUUUCUUCAUAUGCUUUUCUUCCAGUGUCUCCCACAAUUUCUUUGCCGAUGUCUCCCUCAUGACAGAGUAUUUCUGAUCUUUAGCCAGACAUAGGCGAAUAGUACCACAUGCCUGUCUAUUGAUUUUUAUCCACUCCUUGUCAUCCAUCACGUCAGGCUUUUCUUCAAGAGCAACGUCCAACUCUUGUUGACAUAAGACAUCCAACACCUCACAUUGCCACAUACCAAAAUUAUUGGUACCAUCAAAUUUCUCCACUUCAAACUUUGCAUUAGUCACAGUAGUUCUCGCUGAUGAAGACGACGACGGUGCCUCUGCCAUCCUUUUUAUCUCAAAUGAUCAGUUUCUUCAACAACUAUUUACACUUAAAAAACAGCCUCUAUGAUGUUUAUUUCGCGUGAAUAAAUGCACCAGGAAAGUUCCCAAGAGACUGGACGGGAACUCGGUCCCAAUUAAAAACCAGAAUCCUUAGACUCUUAUCGCCUUUGUUGACAGAACUUUCCUAGACAUGCAAAAAUACACACUACUUACAAUAGACUGCCUCCCAAGUAUAAAUGACCGUCUCCACCGUAUUUGUGAACAGUACCGUUUAUAGGAAUAGUACCGUAUACGUGAACAAUACCGUAUCCCCCCAAGUACGAGCCGUCGGCUCUGAUACCACUUGUUGCGGAAACGUGGGUUGAGCAAUUACUAAUACUGCAACUUCUGGAGAAAUAUAAAUGUGGUGAUAAACAAAUGCAAAGAAAAUAGAACACAAUGUUUUACGUGGUUCGGCGUAAUGCCUACGUCCACGGGCAAAAACUGGAAGAUAAUUUUACUAACAAUGAAAUUUACAAAAGUGGGAAAAACUCACAAAACCCACAACCCCAAUACACCCAAAUGGAACCUCACUAGAACACUCAAGUGGAAGCUCUCUCAAAUUCUCUCAAAGAACUCACUUGCAAUUGCUCUCUACUUCUCUCAAAUUGGGAUGGUUACAAUAGCAAAAUGCUUCUCUAUUUAUAGAUUGCAUUCUGCUCCAAGUUAGGUUCAAUUUGUCAAAACGUUGAGCUGGAUCUUGUAUUGCAUGCACGAGCUUUUCAACACCUAACUUUGUCUUUUGAAAUUGCUUAGCCGACCAUCUUUGCUUUUUUGAAUUUGGCAAGCAAUUCUUUGACUUUUCAACACUCAUUCAAGUGGCUAUAACUAAGAUAAAACGUCGCAAAGGAAGAGUAAUUAAAAAAUGUAACUUCUUUAACAUGUCCAUAUAGCAUUUUUGUUUACAAGUGAAUUUGUGUGAUAGAGAGAGGAUGUAAGCAAGAUAGUAAACUCCUAAAUAUAUUAUUGUUUGUAAUGUCUAAAAUUUGAAGAGAAUCAAGCUAAUAAAACUCCAUUGAAAUUAGACCUUCAAGAGUACGGUUCUUGGGCAUUAUAAAAUGUUGUAAUGUUGAGAGAUUACCCAACCAUUAUGGAAUCCUACCAAGAUGAUUGUUACCACUAAGAUACAAUCCUUCUAGUGAACAACAAUUAGACAAAUUUUUUGGAGAUCUCUCUUACAAAGUCAUUACCAUCCAAUCGCAAUUUUGAAUGAAAAUAAAUUUUUUUUAUUGGGAGUUUGACCUUAACAUUAAAUUUAGACAAUGAAUUUUAACUUUCUUCAAUUAUUAAGCAGAUUACGGACAUUUGAGGAAUUUGAAAACAUUUCAUCCAUCGAAAGUUAAAAUUAGAGAUGGAAGCUAGGUGCUACAGCUAAUGGGAACAUUAAUUCCUGUCCCUCAUCACACUUUAUUUUGGGUCUAAUAAUUUUACGGCAGCAUUGACCACUGCUCAAGGUAAGUAAAACUUACAAAUGUGUGGCAAAAUAAAUAAUUAAGUGGAUAAACUGUUAACUAAUUUUCUUGAUAUAUACAGCUAAUGUAGUUGUUCCUCUGUUAAAAAAACAAAUGCUAAGCAAUUUCGGCUGAGCCUGCUUGUGGUGUUGAUAAAAACGAGGGCUGGCUUCAAAUAUUUGAAUAGACACCUCCACCGUACCUCAAACAAAUCUGUCAUUAUUUGUGCCAUGAAACAUGUUUCGGCCGUCAAAGUCAUGAGAGGGUUGAUGACGCUACUACGUAUGAUGACACACCAGCCGACAGUGUAGUAACAGCUCAAAAACAAAAUCUACCAAAAUCAACGGAAGUUAAUAAAAAAUUAUUUUAUUAAUAAAAAUAAAUAAAUAACUUAUUAUUUUUGGAGACGUGUGUAGUUGAGUCUGUGGACUGAAAUGGAAAAUAUGAAGAAGUUCAGAGUCGUUGUGCAGAUUGACUUCAGUUAAAUGGGACUAGUAGAUAUUUUAUGCUGACGUGGCACGAAUUAGUUAUAAUCUGUUACAACGUUUCCAGAAACAUCAGUAUAAAUAGAAGCUGAUGAGCAGUGCCUGUUGUACUUGUACGAUCCUUUUUCUUCUUCAGUUGUUCGUCAAUUUGCAUAGAAUCUGUUUCAUUGUGAUCUGUGCAAAGUCUUCUAUAAAUCCACUUAUGUUUGAUUAGUUAUUGAUCAAUAUCGAGAACAUUAUCCACCUGGAACGACUUCAAGUCCAAAGUAAAAGAGAGAGUGGCUCCCCGCAAUUUUCUUGUUUUCAGUAUAUUUUCUUUUUUUUUUCUUUUUUAAAAUCUUUUGACGCAUGCAUAAUCUACCCUUGUUUAUUAUCUCUACUUUGCUCUGCUCAAGUCCAUUUUUUCAAAUCUUAUUUUAAAUAAUAAAUUGAAUAAAAGUACAUUUGUGUAAUUAAUUAGUAUCUGAGGGGGGCAGCAUAUUUGGUGGAGUGUUAUGCUAUGUAAGACUCAGCUAUUAUCAAACAGUCCCUUAACCAUUUAAUUUAAACCAACUUCUAUUUGGUUUAUUUGCUAUCUUUGUGGAUCUCAUAGGCGUGGCAGAGUUUAAUAAUUUUAUCGUCUGAAGAAUAGGAUAUUGGCUUCAAUAAAUUUAAUUUAAACCAACUUCUAUUUACUCCAUCAAUUAAUUAAUGACAUUUUGUUUUGAAAAAUUCAAUAAUUAAAUUCUCACGUUUCAUGUGUUUGAAGUCAAAUUAUUCAUUAACUAGAACUCUGUUCAAAAUUGACUGUCUUGUGGUUCCCAAAUGUAGUUGUAAUAUUGAAUGAAAGUAAAAACUUUCUAUGGCGAGUUUAAAUCUAAAUCUGGACAAUGAAUUUUGAGUUUCUCAAUGCUAUUCUAAUAACAAAAAUUAUGUUGAUUGAUUUAUUGUUACAGUUACUAUCCUUUGAAAAUGGAUGGAUUCAUUGUUUCCGUGACCAAAUUAUGCCUGCCUAACGCUGCAACUAUUAAAAAAUUUAAUAUUUAAUGCACAUGUUAAAAGAUUUAAAAUUUUAUGCAUUUAUUAAUUGUUAUAAUCUUAAAAAAAAUUAAUUAAUUCAGGUCAAUCUGAGUUGGUGCAUCUGCAGGAGCCUUUUUUUAAUUUUUUUUUCCCCUUAUUGACCAUAAUGACAUCUCCUUCAACAUGACUAUUGACAAAGAGCAUGUAAAAACAUGGAAACAGAACUUCCACAGGUGGAAUUUAAGUUUUGGCCAUGUGGCCAUGAAAGAAAAAGGAAAAGACGCCUCUAAGAUUUGUUUCAGUGGUUUACAUUGACUCUUUAAUUUAAUUUAUAGUAACACAAUUUUUUUUGUACAAAUAUAUAUUAUUCAUGUUUUGUAUUAUAUUUUAACAUCAUAUUUUUAUUUAUUAUAAAUAUUUAAAGCUAAUUUUUAGGUUGAUAUUUAAUAAAAGGGUAUAAUCGUUCCAUCCAUUUCUCAUCUCGCGAUCUCUCUCAAUUAUCCUUUAUUGAUAGCUCAAAGCGCGUUGCUGUGGAAAAUUGUAGCAAAAUGAAAAAUUGGAAAGAAAGGGAAGAAAAUUAAUGCUUGGAGAAAGCAAUCCAAUAAGUCAACUGGUCUUUAGUGGGAACAUAUUACAAAAAGGCCUCGAUCAUCAUAUCGUAGACUCGGGGAUAAGGAUUUGGAUCGAGUUUUUGUUUUGAUAUUGAAGGACCUACUUCUCUGCCGCGAUGUAGAAUAUAUGCAAGGAGUUGUCUACUGCUCUUUAGGUCAUAAUAAUGUGAUUGGUGCAUUCAACGUUGCCCCGAAACACUGGAAAGUACUUCCAUAUCCUCCGAAUGAGAACUGAUUUAUAUAUGAUUUCCUAAUUGACUCAGGAUCAGAUGACAACAACAACUUAUUAAUAGUUAUAUCAAAACGGCAGAAGACGUGUUUUGUUUACAGGUUUGAUCCAUUUGGAAUGAAGUGGUCUCAAGUCGAAAGUAAUUUAUCGAAUAACUUUCGACUAAUUAAUAGUUAUAUCAAAGGGUGUGGGUGUUUUACCUCAUCAUGUCUUCAAGUGGAAGAUGAAGACUAGCAAGUGAAUUCAGGAAUAUUGCAUGCCAUUAAAUUUGUAGUUUUUACAUGUUGAUCAGCAGGAUACAACAUUAAAUUUUGUCAUUGACAAUACUGCAUGCCUGUCGUCUAAAGCAUUACCUCACAAGGUUUUAUGAGAAACGAAAGAUGUGUUUGCUUUGAACAAUUAAAGUUACUGCUACGAACCUCCCCAAAGGUCAAGAAGACAGAACAGGAAGCUAAUGCCAUCAAUGUCUUGUUCAUUAUAGCUGCUGGGUAGUUAGGUGUAGUUUCCUCAUUUGAAGCUGUCUAUACAUGGGCAUUUCCCCUGCUUAUGUACAAAUAAAUGAACAACCUUGAAGCUUUAUUAUUCGCAACAAAAAGGGAUUACUAAUUGGAGAAGACUAUACAGAGUUUCUCUCACACUUUCACUCUGUCAAUUUCAUCUAGAAGUCCCUCUAAAAGCAUCUCCCAAAACAGUUAGUCAUCUUUUAUGCUCUGUUUGUAAAAAAUGUGGGCUUUAUUCUUUCUAGAAGAGAUGGAAUUCUAGAAGAGAUGGAUUUGCACGGUCAAAAAGAAAAGAAAAGCCGUAAAAUAAACAGUAGCCGCAAAAUGAACAGUAGCCGCAAAAUGAACAGUAACCGCAAGAUGAACAGUAGUCACUGGUGGCUAUAAAUAGAGGAGUGCUCCUCCUUAUUGUUUGUAUCCAAAAUCCCAGAGAAGGAAUCCAAGUUUUGGUGAGAAAUUGAGAAAGAAAAAUAUUCUUAAGCAUGUAGUUAUAUUGAAGGAGCAUUUGUCUCCUCAAUAUGGGUAUUACGAGUUUGCUUUGUUAAGAGGUAUUUCUCAAGAUUAUGUAUUUGGGGUUUGGGUGAGAGAAAAUUUAUGAGAGUGCGGUUGUAAUAAUUUUCCACAUAGUGAAUAUUUUUUCUCUGGUUGUCUUUUUGACAACGGCCGUGGUUUUUUCUCCGGAUUUGGAGUUUUCCACGUAAAUCUUGUGUUGUGGGAUUGAUAUUAUUUUUCAUUUAAUUUUUCUUGUUAAUUUGUUAAUUGACAAAUUGCUUGGAGAGAUCUUGGGAGGAAGCUCAAUUUCCUAACAGUGGUAUCAGAGCCAUUGAUUGAAGUUUUGGUGUCGGGGUACUAUUCACGUAUACGGUACUGUUCACGUGAAGCAGUUUGAGCCAAUCCGAAUAAUCUGUGGUGAAGAGAAUAUGAAGCAAAUAUGUCAGCAGCUGGUGUUUUUCAAACUUGGUUGAAGUUUGAUGUUGUUGAAAAAUUAAUGGGAGAAUGAUUUUAUUGGCUUGUGGAGAAUUCAAGUCAAAGGUGUAUUCAAUCUGGGUUACACAAGGCAUUGAAGGGGAAGCCAUCCCCUGCGUCCAGUGGUGGCUCUGGAAAAGCUAGUAUAAGUGAUGAAGAUUGGGAAGAAUUAGAUGAUCGAGCUGCAAGUGCCAUACGACUAUGUCUAGCAAAGAAUGUUCUUGCAAAUGUAGGAAAAAUUCUUACAGCGAAAGAACUUUGGGAGAAGCUAGAAAAGUUGUAUCAGACAAAGAGCAUCUCAAAUCGAUUGUACCUGAAGGAGCGAUUUCACACACUGCGAAUGGCUGAAGGUAUAAAAAUUUCCGAUCACCUCAGUGUUCUCAAUGGUAUUGUGUCAGAACUAGAAGCCAUUGGAGUUAAAAUUGAAGAUGAGGACAAGGCGCUUAGGUUACUAUGGUCACUUCCAACUUCCUACAAACACUUGUUACCUACUUUGAUGUACGGGAAGGAUACAGUAGAUCUUGAAGAAGUUACUAGUACUUUACUCUCAGAAGAAAGAAGACUGAAUGGUGAAAGUACUAAAACUACAGAUGUCUCGGCUUUGGCAGUUGUAGGGAAUUGGCAGAAAGAUAAAUCUAAGAAGAAAGGAGUCUGCUGGGGGUGUGGACAAUCGGGGCACUUAAAAAGAGAUUGUCAUAGUAGAAAUGGAGUAGGAUCGGCAAGUGGCUCCAGAUUAGAUACUGAUAGUAUUGCUAGUGGUAAGUCUCUCAUCAUCAUGGGAGACGAUGAUCCCUUGUAAAAUGGAUGAUGAUGACAUCCUCAUGGUAUACCGCUAGUACCAUGAAAGGGGAUAUGUUACUACUAGCGGGUCCACAAGAUUUACACACAAGGCAUGGUUGGCAUUGAUGCAGGGUGUGUGGUGGAAUUUAUGUCGAUGAUUGACAAACUUCCAGGAAGGCCAACAUGGAAGUUGCACCAUAAAUUUCAGCAGGAUAUUUCGACAUGUGCCGAUGUAAAAUUCUUAGAAUUGGUAAUUAAUUCUAAGUGGUAUAUUCUUUAUGGUGGAGUAUGAUAAUUCUCUAUGACGAGGAUUAUGACUUAGGUGAAAACAGUAAGGACAGUGUGGAGAUUGAUUGGUUCUUAAUCAAAUCUCCAAGUGAGAGAAUGUAAAAAAUGUGGGCUUUAUUCUUUCUAGAAGAGAUGGAAUUCUAGAAGAGAUGGAUUUGCACGGUCAAAAAGAAAAGAAAAGCCGUAAAAUAAACAGUAGCCGCAAAAUGAACAGUAACCGCAAGAUGAACAGUAGUCACUGGUGGCUAUAAAUAGAGGAGUGCUCCUCCUUAUUGUUUGUAUCCAAAAUCCCAGAGAAGGAAUCCAAGUUUUGGUGAGAAAUUGAGAAAGAAAAAUAUUCUUAAGCAUGUAGUUAUAUUGAAGGAGCAUUUGGCUCCUCAAUAUGGGUAUUACGAGUUUGCUUUGUUAAGGGGUAUUUCUCAAGAUUAUGUAUUUGGGGUUUGGGUGAGAGAAAAUUUAUGAGAGUGUGGUUGUAAUAAUUUUCCACAUAGUGAAUAUUUUUUCUCUGGUUGUCUUUUUGACAACGGCCGUGGUUUUUUCUCCGGAUUUGGAGUUUUCCACGUAAAUCUUGUGUUGUGGGAUUGAUAUUAUUUUUCAUUUAAUUUUUCUUGUUAAUUUGUUAAUUGACAAAUUGCUUGGAGAGAUCUUGGGAGGAAACUCAAUUUCCUAACACUGUUUUCUAGAAACAGAGUCCUAACUAAAUUGAUUGACUGAACAGUGCAUUUCAACAUAGCAUAUUUAACUGUUUAAACAGUUAUUUGAACCGUCUUCAGAGUUAUCAUCAACAAACUCAUUCAUACUGGUCCAAUCUUACGGACGAUAUCAUAUGCUUAAUAAUGAACGAAUAGUCUUGGAUCAGUGUUUUGCGGCAAGAGCAACUCGACACAAUCUGGAUUCAACCUCCUCCUAUCUAACAAGGGAUUUCGAUUUGAGUUACUUGGUGCUCAAGCAAAUUCACAUCAUAGUUUUGAUUCUUUAGAUAUGAAUUCAUCACAUUACAUAUAUCAGAUUAAGUGUAACAAAAUUCUUUAUCUACUGCGAAAAUAAUAUGCGCUAAAAAAUGAUUUCAAGACUAUUUGACUACAAAAAGCAGCUGCAUGGCUCAGCCUCAGGUAAGAAAGCCACAGAAAAGGAAAAUCUCACUGUCACGACUCACGUCACGCAUCAUUCAAGUGAUGGAUUUAACAAGACUGCUUAUGUUCUAUCAAAUUCCUCUGCCUCUCAGAAGAUAACUUUUCUGGGCCAAAUUUCUCAUCUAAAGCAUAUUAUGCCCCAAAGUCAGAGAUAACAAAAUGGGGCACUACCGAUUAUGAAAGAGAGCUAGUAGUUGUCAGAAGCCUAAGUCAAAUUCCGGUAGUAAGAAGAGGCCUUUCUUGAGUUUAGAUUAUGUGUUCGAGUUUUAAUAAAUGCCUAAGUUAAUAAUAAUAACAACAGUAAUAAUAAACUAAAAAGCAUAAUUACUAUUGAAUGGUAAAAAAAAAAAAUGAAAAUGUGUGAACUCCAAUAACCACCCCAGUGGCGAAUUUUGGAGAGGGCUAGGCCGGGCUUCUUAGAAAUUAUUUUUAUUUAAUUACAAAAUCACCUUUACUGAAACCUAUAUAAAAUUUUUUAUAUUAAUUAAUUAUGUUGCCUCUUCAAUUAUCAUUGAAUUCUUGUCCGUUCAUCAUUUGAUGGAUAAAUGUGUAUUUCAAUAAUUUCAAAUAAUGUCUAGAACAAAUAUUUUGAAUGAUAAAACUCAUUAUGUCCUGCAUUACUAGAUGUAUCUAUAAUUUAUUAUUUACAAAUUAUAUUGUAUGAUAAAAAUGUAUUGAAUUUUUUAAAAAAAAAAAAGUUCGGCUCACUCAGAAAAAAAUGUUAUUAGCUUCGCCACUGCACAAAUCUAGAAUAAUAAUUAUUCCUUAUUAUAUUGACUGCACCAAGCAAUAAACUAAUAAGUUCUCAUUAGUGGUUUUUAAUCUUUUUAAUUCUUUUUACCGCACACCUGAUCAAUAAUUCUAUUUUGUUAACUAAUCAAUUGCAAAUCAUAUAUUAGUGUUGAACGGUGAACAAAAUUGAAAAAAAAAAUUCUUAAAAAACGUGUGGACUCGGAUAGCCAGACCAGAAAUCUAUGACAAUAAUUAGCUUUGAUGCUGGGAAUCUUUUAGUUUCUGGCCGUAUUGACUCCACCAGUGAUGCUGGGAAUCUAAUGGAGCUCAUUCUUUGGUUUUACUUGCAGGUCUAGAAGCAGGUGUCAUCUUGUAAAGAAGGAAAAUAAUAUUUGCCUUUUUGAAUAAUUUUAUUGAACCAGGAGACGCAGCUAUAUACAAGAGAUUUCCUACAAUCAUGCUAAUCUAUUCUAGGUAGUCUAAGGGCCAGUUUGGUAAUGCUGCAGCUUUUAAAAUAAUUACUGUUAGCUGUGCUGUAGAAAUAAUCAGCUGUGAAGAGAAUCAGUUAAGUGUUUGGUAAAUUUUAUUUUUAAAAGUACUGUGAAUUUUGAAAGCAGUUAUGGGUGUUUGGUAAAUCUUAUUGUUAAACUGCUGUAAGAAAAUAAAUGACUAAAAUGUACAUAAUGUAGGAUGAAAUUUACUUAUACAUAUAAAAAUAUACACGUACAAUAUUAUAAUAAAAAUUGCAUAGGCAUAGAAUUGUUUAUAUAUAAACAAACCCAAAUAAGACAAACAACAAAUAUUAUAAUAAAAAAUACAUUGAAUAUGCAUGAAAAGGGUGAUGAAUCACUUACUGUUAUUGAAUAUGGUUAUGGAACACAUACUGGAUCUUGCUUUGUUGCACUAGAGAAGUUUUGAUAGAACACAAAAUAUGAAGAAAUAGGGUAAACGAAAGGUGUGUGUUAAUUAUAAUAAAAAAUUAUUAAAAUAUUGAUUUUAUUUCCAAUUUAAAUAAGGAUAAUUUCGGGUUUAAGUAAUAAUUGUAAGGAUAUUUAUGGAAUUAUAUUAAAGGAUAAAAUUGAUUCUCAAAAUCAAAAUCUAAAAGUUACUCCUUCCCUGCUUUUCAAAAUCAGCUGUAGGAGGAGCUGAUUCUGGCAAAAGUAAUUUUGAUUUUUUUUUUACCAAACACCAAAAUUAGCUUUUAGAUUUUUAAAAUCACUUUUAACCCUCUCAAAAGCAAUCCCAAACGGGGCCUAAAUAUAAAAGGCAACUAAACAAAUAUACAACUAAUACAAUAUAUUCGUCAAUGAAUGGUCAGAUAUCAUUGACCUUUCCUUCUCAACACUCCCCCUCAAGUUGGAGAGUGGAUGUCAAGAACUCCCAACUUGCGUAUCAUAGUUGAGAAAGCUUCCUUUCCCAAUGGCUUGGUGAACACAUCUGCAAGUUGAUCUGUUGAGGCAACAUGUUUGGUUACAACUGAACCAUCUUGUAUUUUGUCACGAAUAAAAUGGCAAUCCAUCUCUAUAUGUCUGGUUCUUUCGUGGAAAACGGGAUUGGCAGCUAUAUGUAAGGCUGCUCUGUGUUAUCACAAUAUAAUAAUGCUGGCUUCGGAUGCAAUAUUCUCAAAUCCUUCAAUAAUGAGCGUAGCCAGGAUAAUUCACAACAUGUACCUGUCAUGGCUCUAUAUUCAGCUUCUGCUGAGGAGAGAGAUACGGUUUUCUGCCUCUUUGUCCGCCAAGAAAUAAGAGAAGAUCCCAGAAAAACACAAUAACCCGUAGUGGAUCUACGAGAUAUUGGACAACCAGCCCAAUCCGAAUCAGAAAAAGCUCGCAAAGAUAAAUCAUUCUGAGAAAGGAAAAACAAACCUUGCCCUGGACUAUUUUUCAAAUAACGCUAUACACGCAAGACAGCUUCCAUGUGUGGUCUACGUGGUGCAUGCAUGAAUCUGCUUAACACAUGGACCGAAUAGGUGAUAUCCGGUCGGGUAAUAGUUAAAUAAAUUAGGCGUCCAACAAGUCGUCUAUACUGAGACGGAUCUUUAAGCAAUUCACCUAAAUCCGAGAGCUUUAUGUUUUGUUCCAUGGGAAAGUUCACAGGUUUAGCACCCAAAAAUCCACCAUCUUUUAAAAUUUCCAAAGUAUAUUUUCGUUGCGAGAUGGAAAUACCUUUCUUCGACCGAGAAACUUCGAUGCCCAGAAAAUACUUCAAAUCACCCAAAUCUUUAAUUCGAAAAUGACUAUGUAGAAACUGCUUGAGGGAUACUAUGGCAUUGACGUCAUUACCCGUAAUAAGAAUGUCAUCGACAUAUAUCAACAAAGCUGUAAACGAUUUGCCUUUCCGACAUGUGAAUAACGAGUAAUCAGCUUUGGAUUGAACAAAGCCAGCAGCUUGGAUAGCUGUAGAGAACUUGGCAAACCAUUGUCGGGAAGCUUGCUUUAAGCCAUAUAACGACUUGUGAAGGCGACACACUAGAUUCUCCCCCUGUCGCCGAAGACCAGGAGGUGGAGACAUAUAAAUUUCUUCAUGGAGAUCGCCAUGAAGAAAGGCAUUGUUGACAUCAAGUUGGUGAAGAGACCAAUUCUGGGCAGCUGCUAAAGCCAAUAAACAACGAACAGUAAUCAUUUUAGCAGUGGGAGAAAAAGUGUCAUGGUAAUCUAUACCUUCUAGCUGUGUGUAACCUUUUGCAACCAAACGAGCUUUGAAACGCUCAAUACUACCAUCCGAGUGUCGUUUGAUUUUAUAAACCCAACGACAACCAAUAGGCUUCUUACCAGGAGGAAGAGAAGUGAGGGACCAAGUGUGGUUGGCUUCUAAAGCAGCCAAUUCAGAUUGCAUUGCUUCUUGCCAAUGGGAAUGGGAAGCUGCUUUGGCAUAAGAUGUAGGCUCAAUAUCUUGACUGACAGCAGCAGUAAAAGAGCGAUGUUGUGGUGAGUAACGAUGAUAAGAGACAAAAUUGCAAAGGGGAUAUCGUGUACCUUUUUGUAGACUUGAUGACAAAGGCGGCAAAUGGUUGGGAGACGUUACUUGGUUACAGACAUAAUCACGUAAAGCCAUGGGAGGGUGAUGAGGUCUUUGGGAACGACGUAAAAUGGGUUCGGGAGGAGGACUAGCAGGUGAUAGCUGAGUAGAAACUAAAUUCGGUGGUAAUGGUUGUUGGAUGGGAGAAAUUGGUUCCGGUGGUAAGGGUUGUGGAACUGGUGGGGAAGGAGCGGAUAUAGAAAGAGGAAUCACAUGGUCUGAAUUUAAGGAAGGGGAUGGAAUAGACUCAUAAGGGAAAAUAGUUUCAUGAAAAACAACAUCACGGCUAGUGAACAUUUGGUGGGUGUCAAGGUCAUAGAGCUUGUAAGCUUUUUGACCAACUAGAUAGCCAAGAAAAAGACAUCGUUUAGCUCGAGGAGCAAAUUUAUGGGGGACGUGCACAUUAGUAGCAUAGGCAAGACACCCAAAAACUCGGAUAUGAGAAUAAGAAGGAAGCUUUCCAUAAAGUCGUUCAAAAGGAGUUUGGCGAGAAAGGAGUGGUGUGGGCAAACGAUUAAUUAUAUGAACAGCAGUAGAAACACAUUCUGCCCAAAAAUGUAAAUGAAGGUGGGUUUGAAAACGAAAAGCUCGAGCGGAAGCAAGAAUAUGGCGGUGCUUGCGCUCUACAACCCCAUUUUGUUGAGGGGUAUAGACACAAGAAUGUUGGUAAGUGGUCCCUUUUUGUUUAAAAAAUUCCCGCAUAGAGAAGAAUUCUCCACCAUUAUCAACCCAAAUGUUGGCUAUAGAUACAUGGAAUUGGGUUUGGACAAAUGAAAAAAAAUUGACAAGUAAAUGUUGUGUUUCACUUUUGUGAUGCAUAAAAAACACCCAUGUGAAUCUAGAAUAAUCAUCCACAAUAGUCAAAAAAUAUUUCGCACCAGAAAGAGAGGCAAUUUUAUAGGGACCCCAAAUGUCACAAUGAAUUAAUUCAAAAGGUCUAAUAGAUGAAAUUGAACUAAUAGAAAAUGGAAGUCGACUUUGUUUUGCAAGUGCACAAACAUCACAAGCAUUAUUAGACUGGGAAGGGAAAUUUAACAAAUGUUUUGCCAUAAAAUCUAAUCUAGAGGAAGACAAAUGCCCCAAACGGCGAUGCCACAAAAUGGUGGAGGAGGUGACCUGAGAACUGGGUGAACAGCAAGAAGUGGCUGCUGCGGAUGGAGUUUGAGGUUUUGGUUUUUCUGAUGCUAACGCAACCAAGUAAUAAAGUCCGUCUCGUUGUUCACCCAAACCAAUUGUCGUCCUCGUCGUCAAGUCCUGCAAAAUACACCAAUGAGGGAAAAAAGUUACUGAACAAUUGAGAUCUCUGGUAACUCGACUCACAGACAUUAAAUCCACCUUAAAAGAUGGCACACCAAGCACAUUUUGUAAAGUAAUAGCAGAAUUCAAAGGUAAAUUCCCAAUGGAUGUAAUCGAAGCCUGUUCUCCACUUGGCAUAGCAACUGGUGGCAAAAAAGUGUUCUUAUUGCUGUUGACAAGCAAAGUUGGUGAUGAAGUAAUGUGGUCUGUUGCACCACUGUCGAUAAUUAAUCGAUGGAGGCGCAACAAUCUUUGUAACAAACCUGAGGCAGCAGCAUUAGCUUUAGGAUUGGUGGAUUGUGUUGUCCCUUUACCCUGCAUGAUAGAUAAGAUUUGUUGGAUUUGCAAGUCAGAGAGCCCAUUUGUCACUGAUGGCACUUCCUGCAUUACUGGACUUUCCUUGACAUUGUUGGCUGAAGAUUGAUGGUUAUUGUUGCGCUUGAAAUGAGUGCUUCCUUGAUUAGAUUUGUUUGAUGCAUGUUUAGGGUGUUCUGGUGGGUACCCAUUCAGCUUCCAGCAUUUUUCUCGUACAUGAUGGUCACGAUCACAAUAAGAGCAAUGCAAAGGUUUUCGAUUAGAUGGGUUGGAACGAGAAGAAGAACCUUGUUCAUGUCGAACAGCUAGAGCUACCGGUUCAGCCCUUCGAACAAUCAUGGCUGAGUUCUCCAUCAUCUCACGUGCAACCCCCAGGCUGCGCUGCUUCUCCUCUUGUACAAUGGAAGAGUAAGCCUUAGCAACAUCAGGUAGCGGAUUCAUCAACAAAAUCUGCCCUCGGAUUGCACUGUAGGACUCAUUGAGUCCCAUGAGAAAUUGCAUCAAUCUGCGUCUCUUAUGGUCUGCCCCACAAGAGCAAACGGUGUCAUUAUAGGAUCCUAGUUCAUCCCAUAAUUUUUUUAGCCUUGUGUAAUAAGCUGCAACAGUCAUCUGAUCUUGAGCAAGACAAGCAAUGUCCCUCUCAAUCUGAAAAAUACGAGGGGCAUUGCUUUGAGAAAAACGAUCCCGAAGGUCUUCCCAUACCUCCUGGGCGGUGGUCGAAAAUAUGACACUGUCUGCAAGGUCUUGUGUGAGUGAAUUGAGAAUCCAAGACAGGAUCAUAUCGUUGCAUUUUUUCCACGAAGCACAUUCGUCUGGUUUGGCUGUGGCAGACGGCAUUGUGGUGGUCCCGUCUAUGAAACCUAACUUGGAUUUGGCAUUCAAAGAAAUCGUCAUGGCUCUACACCAUGUCGAAUAAUUAUCCCCAUUAAGGGGCUUGGAAACAAGCACCAUUCCUGGAUGAUCAGAAUGAUGAAGAAAAUAUGGAUUGGCAGCAUCAAGCUUGCCUCCAUUCGAAGGUUGCUGUUCCGUCAUGAUAAUGAGUAACAACGAAAAAAGAAAGAGGGCAGAGAGCUAGGGUAUCGUUCCCUGCUCUGAUACCAUGUAAAGAAGGAAAAUAAUAUUUGCCUUUUUGAAUAAUUUUAUUGAACCAGGAGACGCAGCUAUAUACAAGAGAUUUCCUACAAUCAUGCUAAUCUAUUCUAGGUAGUCUAAAUAUAAAAGGCAACUAAACAAAUAUACAACUAAUACAAUAUAUUCGUCAAUGAAUGGUCAGAUAUCAUUGACCUUUCCUUCUCAACACAUCUAACAGCUGCUUUGAUAAUUUCCCACACCUUCAUCUUUGAUGGAAAUAUGAAAUAAAAACAAAUUGGUGAAAAUGGUUUUGGUACCCGCGGCUCUGUAAUCUAUUUCAAAAACUACACCAUCAAAACGACUGCAUAAGAAUCUAACUUCUCCUCUUGAUUUUUAUGGGCAUGUUGUGUAGUCCAUGCAGACAAAAAUCAUAUUUUAGUUUACUCUUACUCAAUGCUUGGAUUAAAGGUUUUUUUUUUGGGGGGGGGGGGGGGGGGGGGGGAUUGAAGCAGACUAAAAUGACACAAAAAAUAGUUGAACGAGUGUGGGUUUUGUCUUCAUUUUAGGAGAUCUUUAUAAAUUUUAGGAUUUUUUUUCCCGAGAAAAUUUAUGCCAACUCAUUCUUUGCUUCUUUUAUGAAGGGACAGAUGCAACUGAAAGUAUAUUCUUGAAUUCUAUAAGAGACAGCAGUUUAGAUUCUCGAGCCUUCAAAAAAAUAUCAAAUUCUAGAUUGCUGAAAUUUUAUAUAUCCAAGUAUGAUGGUGCACCAAUUAUUAACUCCAGGGUGCAACUUCACCGCGGAUUAGAAUGUCUUCCUGCAGAAUUGAGAAAUCUCCAUUGGCAUAAAUAUUUUUUUGAAAAUACUGUCAUUAGAUAUUUUUAUUAUUCAUACUUCAUUGCACAAGGCACCACCUGGCUUCUAUUUCAAGCCCUAAUAAUGAUCCGCUGCUGGAAAAGAAUUUGUGCAGCAUGUACGCUCCUUGACCACAACAGCAAAGUUUAUUGAUGUUAUUUCAUAUUCUGCUGUGAGUCAAAUAAAAAUUUACUAUGCCCUUUCGGCAUGGCUUGCCUUUCAGCAAAAAAAGAAAAAAAAUCUUUCAAAUUGUGGAAGCAUGCUUACAUUAAUCAGCUCAGUAUGUUAUGUUUCAAGGGAUGCAAAAUUCGUUUUGUUUCUCAUGGAAGAAUUGACUUGUCUGGAUGUAUUAAUCUCAUAGAUUUUCCACAGAUUCGUGGGAAUAUAACAAAGCUAGACUUAAGUGAGAUCCCAAUAGAAGAAGUUCCGUCAUCAAUAAAAUGCCUAGCUGAUCUUAAAACGUUGCGUUUGAGUAAGUGCACGAGGCUGAAGAGGCUUUCCAUCAAGCAUUUGUAAAUUGAAAUCUCUUCUUGAGCUUUAUCUCUAUAACUGCUCAAACCUUGAAAGUUUUCCAGAAAUCAUGGAGAAAAUGGAACGUUUAAAGAUAUAAAUUUAGCAAGGACGGCCAAUUACAGAGCUGCAAUCUUGAUAGCCUUCGGGAUAACAUUAGCAAUUUAAAAUCUUUGAGGUACAUCUCUACUAAUGGAUCAGCCAUUAGUCCUCUGUCGCAGGUUCGGUUGUACUUAAAUAUCUAUCAUUUUCUCAAUACAGAGGUUUGGUAUCAUUGCCUCCAAUAUUAUUGUCAGGUUUAGGUUUAUCGAAUUUGUUACAGCUAAAUUUAAGAGACUCUGCUAUAAUGGAAAUUCCCCAAAAUAUUGUUCGUCAAUCCUCAUUGAAAAUUUUAAAUCUAAAGGCUUGUUUGUUAACUACUUGAAGUAUGUAGUUAAUGCUUUUUUUUUUUUUUUUGUAAUUUAUGUUUGAUUUGAGAUAUUUACAUUUGAAUAAAAAAAUUAAACUUUUGUUACAUUUAUCUAAAAAAAAAAAAGGCUGAAUGGGAAGUAAAUAAUUCCCUUUUUCGUUUUAACUUACAAAAACAUAAAUGUUAACUAUGUUUAAGAAAUUUUUUAUUUAUAAAAAGAAACCAAAUACUACUUAUAUUCGUAUAUCAAAAAAUGAAAAACAAACAUGUUAUUCAUACGUUCACAUACAAACUCAUUCAGACCUCAGCUAAAUACAAAUCCAUUUACAUUUCAAAAAAAUAAAUAAAUACUUCCUAAGCGGGAAUAACUUUGAGAGUUGACUUGCAAGGCUAGAAUAUCUUGACUUGAAGGGUUGCAAUGAUUUCUCAUCAUUGAGAGUUUAUCAUUGUGCUUCAUCAUCAUCAUCAUUAUUAAUAAAAAGGUAAGCAAUUAAGAGUCAAAUUAAACCAGAAAAUCACUCAUCCACGCUUUUGGGACAUCAUUCUGCUCAUUAUUUUUAUUCCGUAUCUUCAUUGUUUUAUUUGGUAAUUAUUACCAUUAGUAAAUAAAGGGAUUAGUUGAUUAUUAUGAACUAACUAAAUGGAGCUCACCCUUAAAUGUCGGCUUGUAUCAGGGAGGUGCCUUAGGGUUAAUAAAUCAACUAAUCCCAUAAUUUGUCGAUGUAGGUGAUGGUUGUUAAAGCCAACAAAAACAAAUACCUACUCUAAAUAAAUUGUGUAUAGUGAUUGAGCAGGGUCGUGUUUACAGAGAUCGGUAAUUAUUUAAAUCCUUUUAAAACGUAAAACAUAAAAUGGGGGUUUUGUUGACAAUAAUAAAAAUCAAAUUAAAAUAACAAGAAUGCAAAUUAAAGUUGUAAUUCAAAUUUGGAGAAAGCUCUGGUUGAAGGAAUUAACUCAGCUUAAUUCGACUACUGAUCAUUUAUUCAAAUAUAAAUUAUUACUACUUAUGAAUAGACCGGUUAUGGCUACUGAGAACCUCUAAUAGCCAAUAUCUCCUUAACUAGUCGAUAACCAAGGUACGACCAUUGAUUAUUUCCCUAAUCAAUAGACAACCCUAGAUACGAUCAUAUGAUUUAAUCAAUUGACAGCCUAAAAAACCAGAGAGACCCAAAUCCUAAUCAACAAACACAUACGAUGGUUCAUUUAAAUUAGAUUGUUUAUUCUCAUAACACAACUCUCUGCUAUGUUAUUUGUCACAAACAUUAAAAUCUUCAUACAAUGAAUCCUUUAAUUGACAAUAGAUUAAGUUGAUAAUUAAAUAGUGGCCAAUUACCUAAUUAACAAACAUAAUCAUGAAAAUAAUUCAGAGAAUAAACAAAUACCCAAAAAGCAAUAAAACAAUUAAAACAUAAGAAAGAUCUCACAGUAGUGAUGAAUCAAAGCUUCAUUAACCUUCAACUAGAAAAAUAGGUUUAGUUCUUCAUAGAGAGAAGAGAAAAGUUUAGAUCUAGCGUUUCUUUCUUUUUCUCCAAUCCCCCCUUUUUCACUAUAGAUUCCUCCCUUAAAUACUCUCUCUCUCUUCUCCUCUAGAGUUCUAUUUAAAAUAAAAUACUAAUAUAUGAAAUAUUAAAUUCGUAAUUACAAAAAUAGCCAAAAAUACAAAACAUGUUAAACUAAAAACUGCAGGUCCGUAGUUGACAGCACGCGCCCACGCCUUAUCAAUAAAGUUCUUCUGACGCUCUAAAUUUCUCCAAGAGAACAAUCAUCUUUAAACAUCAUCUUAUAGCUCAAUUUUAUCACAAAUCAAUAAAAUUGCACCUACAAAAGUAAAACACAAGUAAAUCAUUAUUAUUAAGUGCAAAACAUCGAUAUUAAGGGAAGUAAACAAUGCAAAACUAGUGCAUAAAUUGCACUCUAACAGUAGGGUAGCAAAUUAUUGCCAUAGAUCAGCACACAUCUCGAAAACAUAUUUGAUCCACACAGUGAAGAUGAUUCAAUAUUAAGCAUGUCAUAUAAUCUGGAGUUGGAUAUUGGAUCAAUUUGAUGAUAAUGAGUUUCUUUCAAUCUCAAUAUGUAUCUUCUUCGCAACAUGACUAGCCAUUGCAAACUCAAACUCUGACAAUGAUUUCUCAAUCGCUUUCUAAGACGAUGAGCAUGUAUGUAUAUAUAUGUGUGUGCACGUGCGCGUGUGUGUUUGUGUACGUAUAUAGAGAGAGAGAUAUAUAUAUAUCACACAUGUGCGCUUUCCUUUUGUCAAUAAGAUAUGCAGAGAGCUUAAUAAUCAUAGAUUAGCUUAUAUCCUUCAAACCAUGUGCUAUGAAGUAAUUUCACAAACACUUGUUGAACGUUAUUGAAUCAGUAGUUCACAGUUCAAUACAAUGUAGGUUUCCUAUUUGAAGUAAAUGAUUAUGGUGUGUGCAUUUUUCAUAAAGCUAACUACUGAAUUUACCAUUGAAACUUGCAAAAUGUAACAGAGAGAUGCAGAUAGCAGCCACGAAACACUAAGAUUGAAAAUCAGGACUACUGAAUUCUAUUACAAGCCCUUAAAAUAGACAACAAUCAUCCUCAAAUGUAUAUACUGAAAGUAAAAAAUAUUAAUCGUAAAGUUAUGCAUUAACAAAACUAUUGAAUACUUAUCUUUAGCUAUAUAUUUUUAAUUGUAGCUCCCUACUUUGUUCUAAGAACUAGGCAAAAGUAGCAUAUCUUCAAUCCAAUCAGCAUAUAUACCGCUCAUCUUCUCCAGUUCUUUCCACUUUGAUUUGCAUUUCAUACCCUGCACUUGCUGCUUAGAAAUAGUCAUAGUUUGCACAUUGACAGUAGAAAAAGUACUUGAAACAAUCAUUGGCAUAGCAUGGGAUUCCAUUGAGUCGCGGUCUCCAAGCUUUCAUGGUUCUGUAAAGAAAAUGACAAAAACAUCAUGCUAUUGGCAUUCUACUUUUAGCAAUUUUCCACAAGCUGAGCUUUUUCAUAUCUCUCUAUAAAUUAUGCUGGUUCAACCUUCAGAUAAGUUUGUGAUAAAGGCAUCUAUGAUUACAAUGGGAAAAUUACAUGAACUUAUGUUAUCAAUCAUUGUUUUGCCUUCUCGUGAUAGAAUUCUGCGCAAUAUAAAACAUGACAUAUCUGUUACUUACCAUGCCAUGUCGUGAACCUAGAAGCAAUGCAAAUUGCAAGGAACAUAUUAAGCUAUCUACUGUAUAUAACAAAUUCUUAUUAGCCCACAAUCUUGUGCCCCAACAUUGAUCAAGUAACACUAUUAUUUCAUUUCCAAAAUGGCAUAUAUAAUCUGAUGUUGAACAAACCAAAUUGGGAAUCAUCAUUCCUUACAUUGAGCUGACAUUCGUACCUGCUAGUCCAUGAGCAAAGUUGCUUAUAUUUCCACACAGGCAGCUCCCCUUAUCUCUCGGUUCCGACAGAGCUUUGUUUUCCCAUCACCAGCUUUGGAUUCAUUCGAUCACUGAUGCUCCGAGUUAGCAAGCCCCUUGUUGUGUUCCCAUUUAACAGACCCACUUCUGUUAUCCACAGAAGAUCCACCACUCAAAAUGCUUAUCACCGAACUAUUCCUAAACUGAGUAGAAACUUCCGCACAUCUCUCGGCAUUUACAUGAAGAAAUCGACACCCACCCUCAUAUUUGUAAGUUUUCUGAUAAUAGAAAUGUCUACAAAGCUGCAUUUCGUUAGGCAAUCUAGUCUCUCCAUUCCUAGCAAAGUGACAUUGAUUCCCGUAUUUGUAAUUGCCUAAUUGGGGUUUUGGCAAUAGCCUGGUCUUAAAAUUACCACCCAUUACUUUGUUCAAUGCCACUGGCAUCCUCUGAUUAGGAACAUUUUCACAAUUUUUAGCCCUGUUAGUCGAAUCACAUUCAAGGGGAUAGUGAGACAGUAUUUCACUAAAAGAUUCAAUUUGACUACACAUAUAAGAAUUUGAAAUCACUUUUUCUUGGAAUAUUUAAUGACCCACCCAGGGUGAAAGUUUUUGAAUGGAAAUUAUUUAAUUUGAUUUGUUUUCCAACAAAUUCAAGAAACCCCAGAUAGUAACAUAAAAAAAAAAAAUCAACCAAUAAUACGCAAUGGGUUUCUUUCUUUUUGCUUUUGGAGGGCCAUGAAGAUCUGGAGUGGGCUGUAAGUAAUAGCCUUUAUCACUGGAGUGACAAAUUUGCAGAAGAUGAUGCAUGGGGAAGGAUUGGGCGAGCAUAAAAAUGGCUUUACACUCUUUGGAUUAGCGCCUCAUUUAGGUUGUAGCGAGAUAAAGAUAUCAUUUAAAGUUUUAUAAUCCUUGUUAUGCUUAAGGCUUCACUUAGUAUAGCAUAGAGCUUUUCUAGUUUAGCAUUUUACAAGUAGAAUUUUUUUAAAUUAUUAUUUAUUUGGUUGUUUUGUUCAGAAGAGCUUUUAAAGCUCCAAAAUCUUUGAUAGUCAGGUUUUUUUUUGGUAAGUAAAACUUUUAACAAAAAUUUAUUAUUCACUUGAUCGUUUACAAGAGUUUUCAUUAGAAGUUAUGUAAAGUUCUUUAAUUUUUUUUAUCAGUGCAUCUUUUUACAAGUAUAAUUUUUAUUUUUUAACAAAAAUUAAUUCAAUAAUAUUAAUAAUCUCAAUAUUUGAGUUUUAAUAUCAUAUGUCACUCAUUUAUUGGAUGACAGAUUUCAUAACUUAUAAAAUUAUUUAACUAACAUCCACUAAGCUAAUGUCACUAUAGUGAAGAUUGAAGUUGAAAUUUAGAUGUUACGUUGGGUAAUAUUGCGCUUAUUUGGUUGUUUAUGAGAGUUUUUUUGUACAAAUUUAUUUUUAUACAAAUUGAUAUAGUCUAAAUUCAUUAAUUAGAUGAAAAUAGAAAAUAAUAAAAAUAAAUCUUGUGUACUAAAAGUUAUUUAAUCUAUUUAAUUGAAUUAUCCUACGUUUGUUUGUACUAAAUAAAUUUAUAUAAAAAUUAAUUCUAUUUUUUGAUGUGCAACUAAACUUUUAGUCUCUUAUUAUUCGUAAAAUUCAAAUUCAGUGGCUUAUCAAAUAAAAUUAAAACUAUUGGUUAAUCAAAUAAAAUUAUUUGAAAUCAUUGGGUGUGGUAGCUGGAGCUCUUGAAAGUUGAAACUAUGGAAGCCAUGAAAUAUACCAGCGAAAAGAGUUCUAAUUUUUAAAUGUCUAUUUUAUAAAAAUUUUAAUAAUAAAAGUGUCGCAUCGACAUUGAACAGUAUAAAAAUUUUUAAUAAUAAUUUUUUUACGUUUGGGGUAUUUUUGUAAUUAUACGAAGGUAAACUAAUCGCAAAAUUCAUUUGGCUUACACUUGCUCUGUGUAUGGUUAUGGCGGUAUCAUUAUCAUCUUCUCCAUUCGUACUGACACCAAACCUUAACCGUUCAGAUUCCCUUUCUCGACUGUCAUACCCUACGCCCCGUCUCCGUGUCUCCGAUAAACAGUGCUCAAUUAAGGCCAUCAGAUUAUCCCGGACCCACAUUGAUCCAACGGCUCACAAUGACCGACGACCUCUCCAUCUCCAUUACAAGCUUCCUCUUCAACUGGCUUCUGCCUCUAUCGUACUCUUUCUCGGAUUCGGAGCCCGUAUAUGCUCGGCUGGUCCUACGGAGCUACCUCUCACUCCAGCUGUCAACCAACAAGACCAAUUGCUUAAUCCAGACACAGAACAACAAGAGGGUGAGAAAUUGAAUCAAGAAUUUGAGAAUUGGAAAUCGAAAACGUACGCAUUGACCGUGCCUUUAAGGGUCGUUUCUCUUCAGAAUUCAGUGCCUCAAUCUUGGGUUAAGGAUUUUAUGCGAAGUCAAGGAAAGAGAUUGAAGUUUCAGAUGAAUUUUUGUGCUAGCACUGAUGGGAUCGUUAAAAAUUUAUCUAUGCCCUCUAACAAAGUUAAGGCUAACUCAGCUUCGUAUAUGGCUGCUGAUUUGGUUAGUGUUGGUGAUUCAUGGCUCAGUUUUGCGAUUAAAAAGAGAUUGAUUGAGCCAAUAGCUGAAGCUGAAGAUCAAGAUUGGUUCAAAUGCUUAAGUCACAAAUGGAAGGUAACAUCUUUGUCUUUGACCGGAUGAUUUUUAUUGUCUUACAUUGAAAUUUGGUAAUGUAAUUUGUUCUCUAUCUGUGUUACCUUUGUAGUGAUUUUUUUUUUUAUUUGCUUUUAUUUGCACUAACAAAGUCUUAGGUAUAUCUACGCAGGAAUGAUGCAGAAGAAAUUGAUCCUCGAGGUAAAAUAUGGGCGGCACCAUACAGGUGGGGCACAAUGGUGAUAGCCUACAAGAAAAGUAAAUUUCGAAAGCAUAAUUUGGCUCCGAUUGAGGUAAUAAUUGUCUUUAAACUCAUUUAGUUUUAUAUGAAACAAAAUCAAGACUGCCUUUCUCUUCAAUAUUUUUGAUGAUAAUAUCUUUAGAAGCAUCUCAUUGACAGGUAAUAAUGGUAUCCCUGAAAGAGUCUAUAAACUCAAUGAUAUUAUCUUCUACAAAUGGUUCAUUAAACUUCUUCGUUGCAGUCAAAUGUACACUAAGAACAAUGAGAAGCUAUGCCACUGUAGCAUGUAGUGAUGGCACUUAAUAAGUGAGUUGCUAGGAUGUGAACUAGAAAAAUUAAAUAUUGUCUCCUUGGGUAUGCUAGCUCGUAAGUCAGGGUUAAUAUUAGAACUUAUGAUACUAUAACCAUGAGAAGCUAUUGACUGCCAAUUAAAAUAUCCAUUAAAAUGUCUAGGGAGUUAUGAAGGUGGAGGUAACUUCCAAUUUCUAAGGCCACAUAGUAGACAUCAUGCAGGAUCCUAGGAAAGUGCAGUUAACCUCCUGGUCGAUGCCAUUAAUAAAUUUGAUCAAUGCCACUGAAACCUGCUAACUGAUGUCACAAUGCGACAUGAGCACUUCAAAAUGGGACAGACGGUCAGUAGCACUAAAUUUUUCUUGUCUAAGAUUGAGCAAUUGGUCUAACUACUAACCCCUAUUGUAGGUUGAUCAUUAUGUUUUUCAAUUAUGUUCAGUUUGACCCAAAACAUUACAGAAUCUUGAUCUGAAUAUUGUCACUGAACACUGUCAAUGUCGUUUGGCAUAGCCAACUAACUUGAGUUUGGUAAAACAAACACACAGUGUGUCUCAUGUCUCACAAUUCAAAUUAUCAUCUGUAAUGAUGGAGAAUUUUUCCAAUGUAUGAAGUAUGCUUUGAUACGUGGGUUACCUUGGGGAAGGUAUCUCAAAAUAAAGAAUAUGGGGAGAAAACAGUGCAGUAGUUUAUUAUUCCGUAGUCAAGUUUUGUCUCAAAAAUGGUCAAAAUUUAAAUGAAUAAGGACAGGGGAUCUUCAGUCUUUUUUCCCUUUUUUUAUACCAAGAUAUCUCUCAACCUUUAUAUAAUCCCACUGGAUAUCUGCUUCUAAUAAUUAAAAUAAAAUUUCACCCACACAAAUAAGUACUGACCAAGCUCUAACAAUAAAAAGUAACAUCUUUAGUCAAGUAAUUUACAGUUCCUCAUCAUCUUAGUGUGAGACUAUCAGUACGAUCCAAGAGCAAAAUAAAACUGGUUUGACCCUGUUUAUUGAUGUUUAAAUGUUGUUCAUUGUGACAUGUAGAAAUGAUGAGGUGAAGUUUCUUUGGUCAUCAAUUAGUAAGAUCUCGUUUGAAGUUGUUUUCUGAAAUGAACUGGCAAAUGGUAGUUUUUUUGGGGCAUUUGAUGGCUCUUUUUCUUUUUUCCUCAUUUUAAACAUGUGCCUGCUUGGAACGGGAUGGAUUAAGCUGCAGGUUAUAUAUUUUGACAUGCUCUGGUCAUUACACAAUUUGUUCACACUGGGAAUUAGGAUGAGAAAUUUGUUGAUGCUGUUUUGAGAGACCUGCAUUCUAUGCACAAUAACCUGAUUAAUGAAAAUGGAUUGUAGAACUGGAAAGAUCUGUGGCGGCCUGAGCUCGCAGGAAGAAUUUCAAUGGUUAAUUCUUCCCGAGAGGUUAUUAUUGGUUCAGUUUUUAAGUAUAUGGGAGCAUCAUACAAUUCAAACAAUAUUGAUUCGCAAGUUGCUGGUGGGAAGAUUGCUGUUCAGCAGAAUCUGGCAUUACUGGCAAACCAGGUACUCUUAAAGAAACGAUAUCUGGUCAUUGCAUGUUAUUGCCUGACAACUGAUUUUGUUUGUAAAAGUCUGCUUCUUCAUACAUAUGAAUGCAUAUGUUAGUGUUUUCUUCUCCUUUUCAUAAUAUAUGAAUGCAUAUGUUAGUGUUGUCUUUUCCUUUUCAAACAUAUUAUACAGAUGUUGGUGUUCUCUCCUGAGAUGGAUGCAAUAAAGGCAUUUGCUGCUUAAUUUAGCUGAAGAAAUGGCAAGGGAUGUGAGAUUCUGUCUCAUUAAAUUAACAAAAACCCAAAACAAUGAAAGCCCAUAAUAAUGUAGUGUGGGUAAAUUGGCGCCAUUUGGUUCGUUUCCUUAAUGUGAAUAUGCGAGCAAUAGAGACUAACAAAAUGAAGUGAGAACAGCAAGUCAGUGUCCUUUGAUGGAUGCUUUUUUAAGCAGAAAUAGGUUUGUAAUUGACCAAAUUUGUCUGGCAUGCCAAUUUCAAAAAAAUUAAAUUGUGUGGUUAUUAGCUGUAAUGAAGGGGCAUAGUAGGUGCAAUUAGGCGGAUCCAGGAAAGUUCAACAAAGUUCUGGUAUGGCCUAUUGAAAUUGGUUUUUGCAAUUCAAGAGUCUUUCAAGUGAACGAUGAGGGGUUUUGAUUUAUAAAUGUUAUAAAUCUACUGUGCAUAGUAUUCUAGUAGAAUCAUCUAUAAGUUCUAGUUAUUGAAAUUGUCUACCUUGUUCAGUUUGAGUUAAGGGCAUAUGUAAUAUGAAAAAUAGUUGUCGCAUCUUUUAGGUUACCUAACAUUUGAUCAAUCCUAUUAUGAGGGCUUCAAGAUGUCUAACAAUAUGCAGAAUGCCCAUGCUCCUCCCCAUUGUUUAUCUUAUACAAUAAUUUGUUUUAGAUGCUAAUAUCUUUGUUGAUACCGGUAACAAUAUUGCAAUAUCUGCGUUUAUUGGGUUUUACAUAGGUUCGACUGUUUGACAGUACACACUAUCUGAAGGCAUUUGGAAUUGGAGAUGUAUGGGUUGCUGUUGGGUGGAGUAGUGAUGUUCUUCCUGCUGUCAAACGUAUGUGAGUAUGUCUAAUGUUGCAUUGUUAUCUCCUUCAUAUUAGCGAUCAGUAAACACGAUAAUGUGACUAAUAAGUUUGUAUUCUCUUUUAUAGAUAAAAAAAUAUUAGAUGACUAGUAAUUAACAUUUAAUUAUAGUUGAAAUAUUGUUUAUUAAAUUAGUCUAUUGUCUAAGAACGGUUAUAAAAUUAAUUUCAACAUAUAAUAAGAACUAUUACAAUAAUUUAUUUAGAUUUAUAUAUAUAGCUUAACUAUGAAUUAUUAAAACCAAUAUAGCUUCAUAGUUUGUGUGUUAAUAUCUAUUUUAAUCUUUUGUUUAUCUUAUUAAUUUUUCAUUUAAAUUUAAAUCUAUGUUAAAGAUGUUCUAUCAAUCAAUUUGGACUAGAGAGUAAAUAAACAAUCUAGUAAUCACACAAUAGAUAUUGUAUAUAAUUGUUCAAUUAUAACAAACUUUAAAUUUGCAUUAAUAUGAUUAGAAGUAUUGUUUUGCAAUUAACCGAAUCAUAGGCUAAUAAUUUUCAAUAUGAAAUAACUAACUUAGGAUAAAUUAAUUAAUUGACUGAUUUUUUUUUUAAUUUGAAUAUCUUGUGUUAUCUCUAGUAAACAAUUAAAUUUGUCCUUCAAGACUUGAAACAAAACAAAUUGGAGGGCGAGUCAGAGGUCCCUCUCCCUUAAUCCAUCAAUGGAUAGAGUUCUGCUUGCAAACAGCAAGAGCAUUGCCUUUCAAGCAAGAGGUUAUGCCGGGCGCAUCUCCCUCUGCCCUUGAAAGACUCUGGUUAAGUUGCCUGAAGAACUUCUGAAGGGUAAACCAAGCCUGGAUACUAACUUAAUUGCUGGAGUACCCCCGGCUGAAAUUCUGGCCAGAUGUGAGUUUUUGGAGCCAUUAUCUGAAGCUACUUUGUCAGAUUAUGAGUAGCUGGUUGCUAAUCUGCAAAAACCUGCUCCUGUCUUGAUGAAAAGGGUGCAACAUUACUUGUCAUCAUUAAUCCAAAGCUUUCCAGCAAAAGCUACACUGAAAAGUUAAUGGCACUGCAUGCCAGUCAUUAUAAUGCUGUCAGGGCAAUUGGUUCAGGGCAACUGGGUCAGAGCAUAACUUCAUUGGGAAAAAAGGCUUCAGCUAGUUACCUAUUACAGUGCGCACUGAGAUGGCAGUUCUUGAGGUUUUAUAAGAAAUGAAAGAUGAGUGCUUGUUUGAACAAAGUUGUUGCCAAUCUCGCAGAGUUCAAGAAGAAAGAUCACAGAGCUAAUGCCACCAAUUUCUUCAUCAUUGUAGCCUGCAUAGUUGAAGUUUCCUCACUUGAAGCUGUUUAUGCAAACGCUUUUUCCCUGCUCAAGUACAGGAAAUUGAAGAAUUAACCAGAUAUGAUAUGCUGAAAGAGGGAAUUUCUUCCUUAGUGGCCUUUUGAUUUGUAGUGAAGGAGUAGGAUGAUCACUAGCAAGAACCCUAUCAAGGUAGAUUUUAUGAUGUUAACAUAUUAUUAAGCAUUUGUCACUUAGGAAUGAUACAUUCAUAGCAUGAAAUUAAUUAUAUGAUCCUGAUUAAUCAAUUAAUUUUCAUGAGUUUUAACCUAGGUAAAACUAAGUACAAUCGUCGUUAACAACUACUGAAAUUGGGUAAGUAUGAUCUUGACAUUGAAGAAUUUGAAAACACAACCCACAGAGGAAAUUACCUAUUGCAUGGGGAUGGAGAUGUUUACCGCAGCGAUACAGAGCAGUGUUGUCCACUGCUCUUUGGGCUAUGGUGUCACUAAUUCUGAUUACGUAAUUGACUCUGGAUCGGGUGGAAAUAAUAACACUUUAUUAACAUUGCAUAGUCCGAGUACUUUUCCAGGAUCAGAUACGACGUGGUCUAAUGUUGAUAAUAAUAGUUUAUUAAAUGACAAAUCGUUGUUCAAGUAGAAGAUGAAGGUUGUGCAGGUGAUUUCAGAAAUAAAAUACAUUCUAAGAGAUGCUGGUCUACUAUUGCAUGCCCCCAGAUUUAAGAAUCUUUUGAUUGGGGCAUUUGGCAACGAUUCGACAAAUUCUAGAUUCAAGCUCCUCCACCAAGGGAUACCAACUGAGUUAUCAAUUAUCGUAGCAGUUUCUAUGAACUAAAAUUUGCAAAAUAAUUUCUAGCCCCGUUGACUCCACCAACUAAAGUUUACAACUCUACAAUAAUAAUUUCUAGCCCCGUUGACUCCACCAACUAAAGUUUUUUAAAAUUUAAAAAAGUACAUAGAAUUCCACAACAAGCAAAACGUGUGGAAUUUAAUUUUUUGCCGAAAAAGGACAAGAAAAAUGAUAAGAUUUUUAAAAUGAGUGGAAGGUGAUCCAUAUUUUACUAAAACGACUUACCUCGAACAUUAAGAUAAUUGAUUUUUAUUUUUUAUUUUUUAAUAAUAUCAACUUCCAUAUCUUUCUAGCGGGUCCAGCUAUGUUGCAACAGUGAUACUGUACCAUUGUUGCUUUCAGCCAUUGGAUCUUACUAAUGUAACAGUACAACUAUAGAUCCAAUGACUGGUUGCAACUGUAAUACCAUACCACUGUUGCAACAUAAUUUUGCCCCUUUCUAACCCCCAGAAUAUGCUCACGUUCAAGUCUAUCUUGCUAAUUUAAAAAAAGAAAAUCAAAUCAACACCAAAACAAUGAAAAGUAAAGCUUUUGAAUUUCAACUCGAGCUAGCAAACGUAUUCAGCUUUUUCAAAUUCUUCCCAUUGCAUAUCUUCUUCCUCCAUCAAUGCAAUAUUUGAACGAUUAUGAAAGAGUUUAAGAACAUAAAAAAUCUCCAAGGUUUAUACGGUAUAACAAAUUUAAAUUCUCAAUUACAAUAGAUAAUAAUUAAACUAAUAAUUUUUUAUGUACUUAUUUUAGUAAUUUCACCUAAGAAUAAUAUUGUAAUUAGAAAAAAAAUCUAAUAAGUAGGGUGGUCUUAUAAAAAAUCAACUGGUCUCCCCCCCAUAUAAUUAUAAUCCUUCUAGAAAGCUAAUUUUUAUUAAAUAUUUGCUUUUUAAGUUAAUUUCAAUUAAAAAAUGUUUUAAGUUAUAUAUACUCUAAUGAGAUUCUGAAUUCCUUUAUUCCAAUAAUAAUGAAAACGUAUUAAAUUAGAAAUGAAAAAAUUGGUGUUGACGAUUCAACCUAUUUGGAUAGAUUACGUGAAUAAAAUUGAAAUUUUGAUUUAAUUUUUGUUUAUUGUUAAUUCUCAGGCUAUCUUAAUUUCAAGAAUUUAGAAUGUUAAUUUGGUCAUGGAUUUCAGCCCGUGAGUGUCAUAUUCUAGACUUAAUGGUAUCAUUCUUUGAUUGAGGGCAAUGACUCUCACUCCUCUUGUAAAAAAAUAUUUUCAACUAUUUUGAUGACUUAAAAAUUGAUAGAUUUAUUGUUGUCAUGACCAAAUUAUUCAUUUUAAUGAAAUAUAAUUAAUGCAUCAAAGUUACCAGGUUUAUGUUCUAUCUUAAUGCGCUUUUUUUUUUUUUUCAGUUAUCAGCUAUGCCCCUGAGGCAUUUUGUAGAGUAUAGCUUCUGCUUACCUCUGUUUCAUUUUUUUUUAAUAAAAAAACAAGGGAAGGUUUUUCCGAGUCAUCCAUUAUUUGAUUACCGUCAAUCAAGAAAACGACCAAAUUAAUUUCUCUCCAAAAUUUCCAAAAGCUAGAAAAUUUUGUUAUUUGAAAAUAACAUCAUUAAUUAUAGAGUGGAUCAAACCGCGUUAUUGUCUUUUAUAAAAUUGAUGUCUUUUUAAGAGUCAAUACAUUUUAUUUACGCAAACCAGUCGACAUCAACUUGAACUUCCAUAUUUUUAUUAUUAUGUUAUUUAUUUUAAUCCCCGAUUAUUUGAUUAGCCACUAUAUAUAUCAAGAAAGCGACAAAAUUUAUUUCUCAUGACUUCCAAAAACUAGAAAACAACAUCAUUUAUUAUUUUUUUGCAACCCUAAUUGACAUCAACUUUAACUUUAUUAUGUUAUUAUUUCAAUCCCCCAUUAUGACCUUUCUAAUCCUCCAUUAUGCAUCUUUUAUAGUGCAAAUUUAAUUGCACAUCUAAAUAAAUUGAUUAUUGUCACUCCACCACCAAUAUUUCAAAUAGUCACUAGACCAUUUCUGCCUUUAAUUUUCCCUUAAUUUUAACUGUUGACUGUUUUUAGCAUCUUAAAAUAUACAUUUAUUCCUUGAUUAUGUGAUAAAAUUAUGAAAAUAUCCAUUUUAGCUUAAAUUAAUUGGAAUAACCAUAAGCGUAACAUAAAUUAAUAGAACAAAAUUAUCAAGUGUAUGUUCUAUCUUACUUUUUGAAGAAUUUAACAUAUAUAAUGCUAUACUAUUAAUAAAUUUAUCAUUUACUAUAUAUGUUCAAAUAUUUUAUAUAUUUAUUAAUUGUUAUAUAGUCAAAGGAUGAAUGAUUUUUCAGGUCUACAUGAGUUGGUGCAUCUGCAAGACUCAAUUUUGACAACAAUGAUCUAAGGGGUAAUUUACCUUGGCGUUUGACAAAUAUAACCUCUCUUCAAGAUUUACUUCCAAUCUACUUACUGUAAAUAUCUCCUCAUCUCCUCUCAUUUAUAUGAUAACCCUUGAAGAUCUCACAUUUUCAAACGAUCAUAUUAGGGUUUUUAUUAUUAGCAUCAUUGUGUCAAUAAUAUAUGUUGCAGUAAGAUUUUUUCAGACCAAUUCCCUUCUUCAAAUAAUAAUGGAAAAGUAUUAAUUUAAAAAUAAAAUGAAUAUGCAUUGAUUAUAUCCUGAUUUUCAUCGAUUAUAGAGAGAGUUUCUCCAAAUCAACUCCCUUAUUCAAAUAAUACAGAAAAAAUAGUAAUUUAAUAGUAAAAUUAACAAGUGUUGAUUAUAUAUCCUAAGUUUCAUCGAUUAUGUGAUCAAAGUGGCAUUGUUGAUUUAUUUCUUCUUCAAUGUAAAUUUUUAGGUUAUCUAAAUUUCAAGGAUUUAAAAUCUUUGUUCAUGGAUUACACGCUUAUUAAUUUUUCUGCCAUUGACUGUCAUAUUCUAGACUUAAUGGUACCUUCCUUGAUCAAGGAUAAUUACUCUCUGCUCUCCUCUUAUAAAUUCUUCUUCCAUUAACAUCACUAGGAGUAUGUUGAUCUCUCAGACGUUAACUUCAGUGGAGAGUUUCCAAAUUGAUUGUCACAAAACAACACAAAAACUAGACACACUUGAUCUGUCUAUUAAUUCUCUUUCGGUAAAAUUAAUUAAUUUUAGGGGAAUAUUCGACCAACCUAUAUAAUUUUAGAUUGAUCAUUAAUUAAUUGGACGAAAAAAGUGCUUGUGCUUUUGUGGCGACAAUUGAACCAGAGAAGUGAAGCUGUAAAGAUUUGGCAGUAGUAAAUUGUUAGAAAGACAUAAAGACGAGUUCCCAUUAUUAUAAUUUUUUCAAAAAACUUUUUUACAACACAUGCACCUGGCCAAAAAUUUUAUUUUGCUAACUAACAAUAAUUGAGUAGCUGACCGUAUUGACUCCACCUACUUGCUAAAGUAAAAAAAUAGAAAUAGAAUUUCCACAAAAUGGCAAACAUGUAAAAUCUAAUAUUUGGCCGUGUGGAACAAAAUACAAAUAAAAAAAAAAGAAAAGAAAAAAGGCCUAAAGACUUUUAAAAUGUGUGGAAGUCUUUCGGCCCUUUUAUAAUGGUGUGUUUUUCAAAGGAACAAAUAAUAAUAAUGACACUUCUACGGUUUGUUUUGAUAAUCACACAUAUACUCUUUAAUUUGAUAAAUGGUUACACAAAUUUUGUUUACAAAAAUAUAUUAUUCAUGUUCUGUGUUAUUUUUUAACAUCAUAUUUUUAUUUAUUAUAAUUGUUUAAAGUUAAUUGUUAGGUUGAUAUAUAAUAAAAACGUAUAAUCGUUCUCUUACUAAACACACAUACUCAUAGUUUCUGUUCAUUUGUCAUCUCAAUCUCUCUCAUUUAUCCUUUAUUGAUAGCUCAAAACGCGUCACUGUGGAAAAUUAUAGCAAAACGACAAAUAUGGAAAAAAAUGGGAAGAAAAUUAAUGCAUGAAAGAGUUGCAGAAGACAACCAAAUAAGUCAACUAUACGCUAGCUGGGUGUAUAAAUUGUUAGAUGUGUUAUAAACAAAUAGCAUAGAGCCCUUUGGUUGGUUACAAAGAUAGAAAGAGUGUGUGUGUUUUUUAGAACUUAAAGAUACAGUUAGAAUGGGUGGUUCAAAAUAAAAAAUGGUGAUAAUGUUUGUUCUGUUAUUAAUAAUAUUAGAAGGUGGGGGGAGUGAGGGAUGUUUGGAUCAUGAGAGAUUUGCUCUUUUGCGACUUAAACUUUUCUUUGAUGAUCCUUUUAAUUAUCUUCACGAUUGGAUAGAUGAUGAGGGAGCAACUGAUUGUUGUCAGUGGGAAAGGGUUGAGUGCAGCAACACCACAGGCCGAGUGAUAGCGCUAUACCUUUUUCACACGUAUGGGGGAGAGGACAGCUGGUAUCUGAAUACUUCUUUUUUUACUCCCUUCCAACAACUUGAGUCACUUGCUUUACAUGGCAACAACAUAGCCGGUUUUGUUGAGAAUGAAGGUGCUUCGUCUAAUUCAAUUAAAUUACAUUUCGCUCUCGUAAUUUAAGACGAAUAUCAAGACUGAGCAGCUAUAUGCAUAUUCAUUCAAUUGACAAUUUUUGAAAUUACACCAAACAUCAUAUGUGAUCUUUGUUUUGAUUUUACUUGCAGGUCUAGAAAGAUUGAGCAACUUGAAGGGGCUUGAUUUAAGAGGAAACUUGUUCAACAAUAGCAUCUUAUCAUCUGUGGCUCAUCUUUCAUCACUAACAUCAUUAUAUUUAUCUGAAAAUAGAUUGGAAGGAAGUAUUAAUGUUAAAGGUACGUAAUUAAAACGUCAUCGCUUCUACCAACUCUUUCAUUAACAUGCUAAAAUAAGAUUCAAGGCUUUGAAUUCAAUUUUUUUUAUGAGUAAUAUUAGAAAAAUAGUUUUAAGCAAUUCAUAAAUACAAUUUUCAAUGUUUCUCAUAAUUUCAUCUUGUACUUUUGUAUGUCUUGACUUUAAGAUUAAAAAAAAAAUUACUCUAACUGUGAAGCAAAUACCCCAUGACUAAUUUACAAUUUUGUCCAGUUAAAAAUGAUAAAAUUUAUCAUUUGUUUAUAUUGAUUUAUUAACUCUAUUUUAAGUCUUAAGUCUUGGCGUCUUGGCAUGUUUGCAGAAUUUGAUUCCUUGAGCAACUUAGAGGAGUUGGACAUGAGCGGCAAUGAAAUAGACAAUUUCGAGGUUCCUCAAGGUACACAAUUAAAAUAUUAUUUAAUUAUAUUAAUUUAAUUCGUUUGAUUAGGGAAGGCCCAAAAUGUACAAAAACAUAAUUAAAAAAAAAAUAAAGAAAUAGAGAAUUCAUAUUAUUUCAAAAAACAAAAGGUAAUACUAUUAUUUCAAAAAAAGAAUGUAAUAAAGAUUUGAUUCCGGUUCUUUAAUCUUUAUAGCAAUUGAAAAACAAUGUUGCUCUUUUCCUAAAGCAUAAAAUAUGAAAUGAGUCAUAAUUGAAUUAGUCAUUUAUUUUGUUUAGAUCUAAAUUUAGACAAUAAAUUUUGAUUUUUUUUUUCAAUCCUAUCCUUAUUAUUAUUGUUAAACAGGUUACAGAGGUUUGAGGAAGUUGAAAAGCCUCUAUCUAUCGGAAGUUAAAAUUAGAGAUGGAAGCAAGUUGUUACAGUCAAUUGGAUCAUUCCCAUCCCUCAACACUCUUUACCUUUCAUCUAAUAAUUUUACCGAUAUAGCGACAACUACUACUCAAGGUAAGUAAAAGGUACAGAUGUGGCCAAAUUUAUAAAUAAAUUGUUAAUUAAUUAAUUUUUCCGUAUUAUUAAUAAAGCUAAAUUCGUCGCUCCUUCCUUCUAAUUCUAAACAGAGUUGGCAAUUUCACCAACUUGGAGUAUUUGACAUUGGACUUGUCCUCACUCCAUUUAAGCCUUCUGCAAUUGCUUGAAGAAUGAAUUUAUAUAUUUAUUUAUUAUUAUUAUUAUUGUUAUUGUUGUUGUUGAAGUGAGGUGGGCAAGCGUUCACUCAAUUAAUAUGUGGGGAAUUAAUAAUUACAAUCCAAGGUAGAAUUGUGGAAAAUUAAAGCAAAAUGAGAAAUAUGGAAAGAAAGGAAGAAAGUUAAGGGCAUGAAAGACUGGGAGAAGACUAAAGACCACCAAAUAAGUCAACUGAAAACUAGCUGGGGCCUGGCUGUACAAAUUGUUAGAUGUGUUUGUUAUAAAUAACAUAGAGCCCUCUUGUUGGUUGCAGAGGCAGAGAGACAGAGAGUGUGCAUUUUGUUAAUUAAAAAUAUAUAUAAAAUGGGUGGUUCAAAAUCCAAAAUGGUGAUAAUGUUAGUUUUGUUAGUAUUAAUAAUAUUAUAAGGGAGGUGGCGUGAGGGAUGUUUGGUGCAUGAGAGAUUUGGUCUUUCGAGACUUAAAACAUUUCUUUAAUUCUCCUUAUAAUUUUUGUCACGACUGACCAUUGUCAAUGGGAUGGGGCUGGGUGCAGGGUUGAUUUACGUUAGAACAAUAUAGCCGGUAGUGUUGAGAAUGAAGGUGUUUCAUUUAAUUUAAUUAAUUUACUUUCUCCCUCCUAAUUUAAGUGGAAUAUCAAGACUGAAUAAUUAUAUGCAUCUUCGUUCAGUUGACAAUUUUGACAUAUUUUUUUAAGUGAUUAAUUUUGAAAUUACACCAAACAUUAUUUGUGAUCUCUGCUUUGACUUUACUUGCAGCGCUAGAGACGUUACCAAGAUUGAGCAACUUGACGAUACUUGAUUUAAGAGGAAACUUGUUCAAUAAUAGCAUCUUGUCAUUUGUUGCUCGUCUUUCAUCAUUAACAUCAUUAGAUUUAUCUUACAAUGGAUUGGAAGGAAGUAUUAAUAUUAAAGGUACGUAAUUAAAACGUCAUCGCUUCUCCCAACUCUUCCAUUAACAUGCUAAAAUAAGGUUCAAGGCUUUGAAUUCAAUUUUUUUUAUGAGUAAUAUUAGAAAAAUAGUUUUAAGCAAUUCAUAAAUACAAUUUUCAAUGUUUCUCAUAAUUUCAUCUUGUACUUUUGUAUGUCUUGACUUUAAGAUUAAAAAAAAAUUACUCUAACUGUGAAGCAAAUACCCCAUGACUAAUUUACAAUUUUGUCCAGUUAAAAAUGAUAAAAUUUAUCAUUUGUUUAUAUUGAUUUAUUAACUCUAUUUUAAGUCUUAAGUCUUGGCGUCUUGGCAUGUUUGCAGAAUUUGAUUCCUUGAGCAACUUAGAGGAGUUGGACAUGAGCGGCAAUGAAAUAGACAAUUUCGAGGUUCCUCAAGGUACACAAUUAAAAUAUUAUUUAAUUAUAUUAAUUUAAUUCGUUUGAUUAGGGAAGGCCCAAAAUGUACAAAAACAUAAUUAAAAAAAAUAAAGAAAUAGAGAAUUCAUAUUAUUUCAAAAAACAAAAGGUAAUACUAUUAUUUCAAAAAAAGAAUGUAAUAAAGAUUUGAUUCCGGUUCUUUAAUCUUUAUAGCAAUUGAAAAACAAUGUUGCUCUUUUCCUAAAGCAUAAAAUAUGAAAUGAGUCAUAAUUGAAUUAGUCAUUUAUUUUGUUUAGAUCUAAAUUUAGACAAUAAAUUUUGAUUUUUUUUUCAAUCCUAUCCUUAUUAUUAUUGUUAAACAGGUUAUAGAGGUUUGAGGAAGUUGAAAAGCUUUGAUCUAUCGGAAGUUAAAAUUAGAGAUGGAAGCAAGUUGUUACAGUCAAUGGGAUCAUUCCCAUCCCUCAACGCUCUUUACCUUUCGUCUAAUAAUUUUACCGAUACAGCGACAGCUACUCAAGGUAAGUAAAAGGUACAAAUGUGGCCAAAUUUAUAAACAAACUGUUAAUUAAUUAAUUUUUCCGUAUUAUUAAUUAAGCUAAAUUUGUUGCUCCUUCCUUCUAAAUCUACACAGAGUUGCACAAUUUCACCAACUUGGAAUAUUUGGCAUUGGACUAUUCCUCUCUCCAUAUAAGCCUUCUGCAAAGCAUUGCAUCAAUAUUCCCUUCGUUAAAAAAUUUGUCGAUGUAUCACUGUGUAGUCAAUGGCGUCCUACGUGGUCAAGGUAAAAGAAAAGUGUUGAUUGUGAACUCGCUCAAUGGUGUCCUACGUGUUCAACAUUUUUAUUUAUUUAUUUUAUUGUUUAAUGUUUCUGCUAGGUUUUCCUCAUUUCAAGAGUUUGGAACAUUUGGACAUGGAUUUCGCGAGCAUUGCACUCAACACCAACUUUCUUCAAAUCAUCGGAGAAUCAAUGCCUUCUCUUAAGUACUUAUCACUAUCAUAUUCUAAUCUUAGCACUGACAGCAAGACUCUUGAUCGAGGUUAAUGAGAUGCUUCAACCCUCCCCUUUAAAUCUAUAAUAUUAAUUUUCGAUUAAAUAUAUAAUUAUAGAAACCAAUCACUUAUAAAAGAAUGCUAUGCAUUUGCCAAUUUUUUUAUAUUUUACUGAUUGAUGAAUUAAUAAAUUUUCAGGCCUCUGUUCGUUGGUGCAUCUACAAGAGUUGUACAUUGCAACUCUUGUAGUAAUUAAUUAAUUAAUUAAUUAAGUAUUAGUUAAUUAAUUAAUUAAUUAAUUUUUUGUAUUAUUAAUAAAGCUAAAUUUGUUGCUCCUUCCUUCUAAUUCUGAACAGAGUUGCACAAUUUCACAAACUUGUAAUAUUUGGCAUUAGACUCUUUCUCUCUCCAUAUAAGCCUUCUGCAAAGCAUUGCAUCAAUAUUCCCUACGUGGUCAAGGUAAAAGAAAAGGGUUGAAUGUGAACUCACUCAAUGGUGUCGUACGUGUUCAACAUUUUUAUUUAUUUAUUUAUUUUAUUGUUUAAUGUUUCUGCUAGGUUUUCCUCAUUUCAAGAGUUUGGAACAUUUGGAUAUGGAUUACACUCGCAUUGUACUCAACACCAGCUUUCUUCAAAUCAUCGGUGUAUCGAUGCCUUCUCUUAAGUACUUAUCACUGUCAAAUUCUGAUCGUAGCACUAACAGCAGCAGGAUUCUUGAUCAAGGUUAAUCAGAUGCUCCCACCCUCCCUUCUUAAUCUAUAAUAUUAAUUUUCGAUUAAACAUUUAAUUACACAAACAAAUCACUUAUUAUAAAAGAACAAUACGCAUUCAUUAAUUUUUAUAUUGUAUUAAUUGAUGAAUUUAAUAAAUUUUCAGGCCUCUGUUCGUUGGUGUAUCUGCAAGAGUUGUACAUUGAUAAUAAUGAUUUAAGAGGUAGUUUGCCUUGGUGCUUGGCAAAUAUGACAUCCCUCCGAAUAUUAGAUGUUUCUUCCAAUCAACUUACUGGAAGCAUCUCCUCAUCUCCCCUCAUUCAUUUGACAUCCAUUGAAGAGCUGAUGCUUUCAAACAAUCACUUCCAGAUCCCAAUUUCACUUGAACCACUUUUCAAUCACUCAAGACUCAAGAUUUUCAAUGCUUACAACAAUGAAAUAAAAGCUGAAAUAACUGAGUCACAUUCUUUGAUCGCCCCAAAAUUCCAAUUAAAUACACUCUUGUUGUCUUCCAGUUACGGAGACAGUUUCAUAUUCCCUAAAUUCCUUUACCAUCAACAUGACCUGGCGUAUGUUGAUCUCUCACACAUAAAAAUGAAUGGAGAAUUUCCAACUUGGUUGUUGGAAAACAACACAAAAUUGAGCCACCUUUCUCUCAUCAAUGAUUCUCUUGCAGGACCUUUUUGGUUGCCAAUUCAUUCACACACGCAGUUAAUACUGUUGGAUAUAUCCAACAACAACAUCCGAGGCCACAUUCCACUAGAAAUUGGAGAUGUUUUACCACGUUUAUACGUUUUCAACAAUUCCAUGAAUGCUCUAGACGGUAGCAUUCCCUCUUCAUUUGGUAAUAUGAAAUUCCUCCAAAUUCUGGACUUAUCCAACAAUCACUUGACUGGUGAAAUCCCCGAGCACUUGGCCGUGGGUUGCGUCAACUUGCAGGCUCUUGCAUUAUCAAAUAACAACCUACAAGGUCAUUUGUUCUCUAGAAAUUUUAACUUGACAAACUUGAAAUGGUUACAAUUGGAGGGCAAUCGCUUCGUAGGUGAGAUCCCACAAAGUUUGUCUAAAUGCUCCUCACUAGAAGGAUUGUCUCUUAACAAUAAUAGUCUUUCGGGUAAGAUUCCACGAUGGUUGGGUAAUCUCACACGGUUAGAAUAUAUUAUAAUGCCCAAUAAUAAUCUUGAAGGCCCUAUUCCAGUGGAGUUUUGUCAGCUUGAUUCGCUUCAGAUUUUGGACAUUUCAGACAACAACAUAUCUGGAAGUUUACCAUCUUGUUUCCAUCCUCUCUCUAUCAAACAAGUUCAUCUUUCAAAAAAUAUGUUACAUGGACAGCUAAAAAGAGGUACAUUCUUUAAUUGCUCUUCCCUUGUGACAUUAGAUCUUAGCUAUAACCGCUUGAAUGGCAGCAUUCCGGAUUGGGUUGAUGGGCUUUCUCAGUUAAGCCACCUUAUCUUAGGUCACAAUAAUCUUGAAGGUGAAGUGCCAGUUCAAUUGUGCGAAUUGAACCAACUACAAUUGUUAGAUCUUUCUAAUAAUAAUCUUCACGGUCCUAUUCCUCCUUGCUUUGAUAACACCACACUUCAUGAAAGUUACAGCAAUAGUUCUAGUCCUGAUGAGCAAUUUGAAAUAUCUUUUUUCAUCCAAGAAACUCAGGGAUAUGUAAAAGAGCAAAUCCAUGAAAUUUUUGAGUUCACAACAAAGAACAUUGCGUACAUUUACCAAGGAAAAGUGCUUAGCCUCCUAUCAGGACUUGAUCUUUCUUGCAACAAGUUAAUCGGUCAUAUUCCUCCUCAAAUUGGAAAUUUGACAAGGAUUCAAACAUUGAAUCUAUCACACAACAACUUGACAGGAUUGAUCCCAUCAACAUUUUCAAACUUGAAGCAUAUCGAAAGUUUGGAUCUUUCCUACAACAAAUUGAAUAGAAAAAUCCCUCAUCAACUAGUGGAGUUAAAGACAUUGGAGGUUUUCAGUGUGGCAUACAAUAACUUAUCAGGCGAAAUUCCAGAAUGGAAAGCACAAUUUGCAACCUUCAACGAGAGUAGCUAUGAGGGAAAUACUUUUCUUUGUGGAUUGCCAUUGCCCAUUUGCAGAUCACCAGCAACUACGCCAAAGGCUUCAAUUGGCAAUGAAAGAGAUGAAAAUUUAAUUGACAUGGACAAUUUCUUUAUCACAUUUACAACAUCGUACGUAAUUGUAAUAUUCGGAAUUGUUAUUGUUUUAUAUGUAAAUCCUUAUUGGCGACGUAGAUGGUUUUACUUUGUUGAAAUGUGGAUAAUUUCAUGUUACUAUUUUGUUGUAAACAAUCUUAUUGCAACAAGAUAUUGUCAGUGAAAUUAAUUAGCAGUUUAAUUACGAUUCUUUAAGUUCUAAUCAAGUUUGCUUAGGAAAUAAAUUUAUUUUUAUUUUUUAUUAAAAUUGUAGUAGUAUUUAGCGCUAUAUAGCUUCCAACUUCCAAGCACUUCACAUUUGUCUCUACACUUCCAAACCCAUAUCUAUCCAACAUAACUUAUACUUCCCUAUACUGUGCAGCAUACUUAAAUAAGAGAAUCAUCUCCAAUGUUAAAACCAACCACUCUAUAACAUUCAUUUAGAAACUAUAUUUAGAAUAGUUUUAUAAUCAUACACAAGAAAUGAAACACCUAGAUGCACUUGAUCGCCUAUUUUACUUUAAAAAAUAAUGAUUAUGGUGCUAUCAUCAUCUUCUUCACUAGCAACAUUAACACCAAAUCCAGCGAUGGACCCAGACAUUUAAUCAAGAAAGGUAUAUAUAUAAUAAAGUUGAAGCUUGACAAAAAAUUCAGGAAGAUUAAUGCAUCGCCACAACAAGAGGCACAACAGCAUCAAAGUAGAGAUGAAGCAAUAUUCUCAAAGCUAAAACUCUCAAAUCCACCCACCAGAAUUUCAUAUCUCCUCAACAAUUUUAAGAACUAAAGAUAAUUAGGAUCUAACAUUAGUUUUUUAUAUAUUAGUUUCAUAAUUUACAAAUCAAUGAAGAUGAAGAUUAUGCUAAUGAAUUCAAAUUAUACCAUACAUUCUCGAGAUGUUACCAAAAAUUUCUAAGUCAAUCCCACAUAUUUCAUAAUUUUAAGACUAGAAAAUUUCAUUAGUUAGAAGUUUCAUUACCUUCAAGUGGAAGAUGAAGAACAUUAUACAAUUGAUUCAGAUUAUAUCAUACAUACUCCAAAUGCAACUAGAAAUUAACAAGUUCAUGCACACAGAUUUCAUAACAUUAUGAUUGGAAAGUUUCGCAAAGAGAAAUUCUAAAUUCAAUCUCUUGCAUCAAGGUAGUUUGAUUGAUUUGAGUUACUUUCAAGUCAGGGAGAAAGUAAAUUAAAACAGGGAAAAAAUAACAGUAAAAAUUUGUUGCUAAACAUGAUGUGUAUUUUUUUUUUAAGGCAAUUUGGAAACACAGUUGUUACUACAGAUAUUCUCAACUUAGAGAUAACUACAAAUAUUAAAAUGCAUAUGAUCGCACAUAUUACUUGGAGCUUAGUAGGAUUUCAUUAAGAGAAGCAAUCAAACCACUUAUCAAUUGUUGCAAUCGUUCUAUAAGCUAAAAUAGCAAUAUAAUACAAGAAAAAGAACAUAUAGAUACUUGGCAAGAGUUCAUUAAGAAGUCGCAUCACAUUCGGGUGAGUUUGCUUCUGAUAUCUUGCUAGCUGGGGCUUUUUCUUGUCUUUCUGCGUAUGCCGAAGGAAACCAACCAGCUUGGCCCUUGCAUUCACCUUCUGACCAUCCAGUAGGAGCCACCUUGAGAAGUUAUAACUAAAACAGUGAAUUAAACAAAAGUUGACCGUUCAAAGACCUAAGGGGAAAACUAAUUCUUUUACGUAGGAGUGAAUUAGUUGUGAUCACUGAAAUAACAGCAUAACUAUGGAAGCAUAACAAGAUAUAAAUUCACACGUCUAUAAGGGUAAACUGGGUGGUUUAGAACUGAGCUAGCAACCCUACUAUAUUCUGAUUUGCACUUCAAUGUAAAAGGGAAUAUAUGGUAGGAAUAAAGAAAACCAACUAUCAUUUGUUAACUCAUUGCUUUUCAAUCAAAAUUUUAAGAACAAAAUGCCAUGUGCUUUGAACAUCAAAUAAGUAUAAGCAUUAGUUCUAAAUUCCACAUAUCAUAAGUUAGAAGGAUAAGUUAAUAGCAUAUUAGAAAAAUCUAUGUGUUGUUAUUUAGAGGGGAAAGUACCUGGCGAACCACAACAUAAUCAGCUAUUGAAAGACUUAGCUCUCCAUUUGCUUGAGCAACAAAUGGAUGUAUAACCUGCAAGAUAAUGGGAUAAAUAGAACUUAAUCUUAAAAAAAGCAUAACAAAAGCAGCAACAGUAGCAGCAACGUUCAUUGUAACCACUAUGAUCAUGGCCAACAAAGAUAUAUUAGAAACAAAAUUCCAUUUAUACUACGACAUUAAUAUGUACUAUAUGAUAUCAUGACGAUUGGGUUACCAAGAGCUAUCAAAGUCCAAUAAAUUCUGUAUAACUUUAUGUAGUUAUUCAAAUUAUGGAUCAGAUUUUAAAUCUGAAAUUUUGACUGCUCUCCACAAAACAUGGCCUAUGCGCAAGAAAGUCAUAGAUAAUGAGGAUUACAAGUGUCUGACAUCUUUUGAGUGAUGGAUUUAACAUGAGAGCUUAUGGUCAGUCAAUUUCCUCUGCCUAGUAAUAUAAGCUUUCUCGGCCAGAUUUAUCAUCAAAUACAUAGAUUGCCCCCAAGUCACAUCCAUAUAAACAUAGUUUUUCUAGGUAAACCAAGUAAGGAGAAUCAUAAUUCAGACAUAAUCAUAAAAAGGAACAUCUAACUUAAGAGAAAAUCUCAAAAAGAGGGAUGCUGAGCUAUCAGUCUUGUAUCUAUAAGCAAUAUCAAGACUUUACAUCACCUGCUACAUCGUGAAUGGCUACACAACUUUCAGUGGUUUGUCUUUCUUUGGCAUGCCUAACUCAGCUUUGAUGUUGCUGAGAUAUUGAUAGUAGAGACACAUGAUACUUCUAGCUCAUGCAUUCUAUCUAGCUCAUCCGACAGCUAUGUCUUUUUUAAUUCAUUAGUGUUUGCUAAACCUCAUGCUUAAAAGUCCUGUUGUUCUAAACAAAGUUUCCUAAGAAUGACUUCCUCAGCACCACAUUUGGACACUUUUAGAGCAAUUUAUUUGGGGGAAAAGAAUUUUCAAGGUGUUAACUAAUAAAUUUUAAAAAAUAAUUACUAUUUGUCCUACGAUUAUAUGACAAUUUAUCUGGGAUGAAAGGAUACAGACAGACAUCUUCCACUUUCAAGACUAAUCACUACUUCCGUAGAUGUUUUGCAAUAAUACAAAUACUUGACCAGAUGGUAGUGAUGGUAGAAAAAAAUUUUAUUGCUCCAAAAUUAAAAUAAGAAUGCAAU
RNAcentral lists this long non-coding RNA (65152 nucleotides) under Citrus maxima (pomelo). RNAcentral describes it as "long non-coding RNA (CMAX_LNC001454)". Lineage: Eukaryota; Viridiplantae; Streptophyta; Magnoliopsida; Sapindales; Rutaceae. The record is from RNAcentral.